CAAAUCCUUUUCCCAUCUCUUCUCUCCUUCUCAAAUUCUCCCGGCCACCGGUCUCCACCGUAAUGUCCCUCGCAUACGCCGUCGCUCACUCUUCUCAGUCAACGCAACUCCGCAUCAGAAACCGCCGGAAAACCAGUUUUCGAAAGCGAUGCUUCCGGAUGAUCAAGCAACAGAAAACCAGAUUUUAUAUCCUCGGCCGUUGCAUCUCCAUGCUUCUUUGUUGGCACGAUCAUGAUAUUACUGAUUAAAUCGCCUAAUUCCACCGUCGAUUGUUGUUUUCUUCCCUCCUAUUUCGACAAUCAACGUUCUUUUCGCCCGCGAGAUCCUCCGAUCGGUAAUUGAACUCCGAUUCUGAAGGAAAUGGAGGUAAAUCGGAAUCUUGAUUAGGUAUCAAAUUGAUCGGAGGAGUUAGGUAUACGGUUUAAUUUCUCACCGGCCGUUAUAACAUACAGCGCCGUGAUUCGUUCGCUUGGAGUAGAUUUCUCUUGAUCGACAGAGAAGAGACAAAUUGAAGGCAAGCAAAAACUAGUUUAAUUUCUCUUUGAACUUUUCUUCUAAUUUUAGUUUGUUAUUAGAUCGUUGAUGACCUUCAUUCGACGUACGGAUACAUGUAUAUAAACUGAUUAGAAAAAUUAAAAAAAAAAAAGGUUUUCUUUUUGUUUUGAAAUCGGACUCUGUUUUUGAGAACGAUUUGAAUUGAAUCUCUGUAUUUAUGAAUUUUGUUGAGAUUUAUCAAUCAUCAGAUUAUCAGUUCUUAUCUUAAUGGAUUCGUUUGCAAAUUAUGAAGAAAGUCAACUUUUUUUCUUCUCUAUACAUAGUUCAUAAUUUUAAUUUGAUUUUUGUGCGAUAAAGAAGUGAGCAGGAAAAUAGUUAUCCAAUUGUGGAAAUAUGUACAAAAAAUUACUUCUUUUCUUUGUUUAAAAUAAUAUUUUCUUCCACUUGUAAAAUCAACCGUAAGUUAAAUAAUAUAGAUUAAAAUUAAGUUUUAUGUCGUAGGAUACCACACGGGUUUACGUGUACAUCACCGAUACAUCUCUAUUCUUUUCAUCAAGAAUUCUUAAAAUUAUUGUGACUUAUCUUUUAAUUUGCCUCUGACCAUCAAAUGAAAUGUGAAUAACUCGUCCUCCUCUCCUUGAAACAAGAAACGCUUUUGAUUCCCUUUAAAUAAUUUAGUCUUCUCUAUAUUACUAUAUCUCUAGAGUCGAUAAUUUAUAUGAAGAAUUAUUACUAUUCAGUUUUCCAUUGAGGUCCUCCAAUGGAGGUACUCAAAUUGGUUACUUCCAUUUCAUGCUUAGAACAAUUCUAUAUUAAAUAAUCUCUUUCUUAUAAUAUAAGACGAUAUUGAUGGGUAUGCAAGGAAAAAUGUGGAAGAUUCAAAUACAAUCUUGUUUGGGUAUGGAGGGUUACAUUUUGAUUCUCAAUUUAUUUAUUUUCUUUUUUUACUUUUAAUUAGUAGUAGAAAUAUGAUUAGUAAUAAAUGGUGAGUAAGAAGAUUGGUUAGGUGGAAUAAAAUUGAACCACAUACCAAAUUUUGAUCAAAAUAUAUAUUUUUUUCUCUUCAUUCUUUUAUGUCAUUUAAGUAAUAGUAUAACCAUGAUUACUAAUAAACACUACAUUAAAAUAUGGUUUGAAUAAAUUUGAUAUUGUUAAUUAGUGUUGAGCUAGACUAAGCUUAUCGUUUAUUAGUGAACUUUUGUGGUUUGAAUUCUAAUAACAUCUUAAAAUGUCUAUUGAAUUCAACUUUGAUGACUUGAAUGGAUAGAUAUGUUAUUCCGACUAAUUUUAUAUUUGAGCUCGAAAAAUAACAGUGAUGUGCUUACCAUUACUUUUAACCUAAAUCUCCACCAUAGUUGGAUUGUUAAUUCCCAUCCAUUAACUUCUAAUCUAAGUAAUGGGACCCACUUAAUGUACGAUUAAAAAAAAAAGCACUUAUUAACACUUUACAUUGGAGGGCCUAAGUAAUAAGUGGUUGUAGUUAUGCCAAAAAUUUAGUUUUUGAUGUUUCGUUUUUUACUUUUGAAUUUUUAUGUCGAAGUAUUUAGUUCUUUAUAGUUUUACUGUCUAUUUAUUUAGUCUUUGUCACCGUCAAUUUUUAAACAAAAUAAUUAUUAAAUUAUAGUUGUUUUCAAAUUAAAAACUAUACAGUGAUUGUUGUUAGAAUUGAAAAUGUAAAUUCAUAAUGAACUUAUCAGACUAAUACAGAUAAUAAAAUUUGACUUUUGUGGUUAAAGAUUUUAGAAUUUCAAGGGAAUAAUUAGAUACUUUCUUAAUUAGGUAAUUUUUUUUUUUUUUUUUUUUUUGAGAAGUACUUUCUUAGGUAAUCAAAUAACUCUAAAUAUCGUUAUAGUGGGUAUACAAUUAAUAUAUUAAAACUCAAUAGACAAAUUGAAGUAUUUAAAAAACUAAGGUGUGUGAGUAUAUAUAUAUAUAUUACUUUUGUUUUAAGUGUUCGUAGUUUGACUUUGAUGCAAUCAAGGAUCAAUAUUUAAAACAUUUAAAUUAUAUUGAAGAAUUAAAUUUCACUUAUUCGAACUUAAUUAUAAUUUUAGGAAUCUUUGACAAAAUUAAGUUCUGGGAAAUUCAUAGCAACCAAUUUUCUUUUAUUGCUUUUAUUAUUGUCCAAAACAUUUAAAUUUUAAUAUAUGUUUUCAUAAUUGUUGAUUAUAUUAUGACUUUUGCUUUAAUCUCUUUACUAGCAUUAAGUUUAAUAUAUAGAUUUUCAACAAAUCUUAAUUUUAUUUUAUAAGUGGUUGGUUUUUUUACAACAUUGCAAAGGACCUUUGCAUUAUAAAAUUUUAAAGCAUAUAUUUUUAAAAAAGUAUUUACCUAAUUUAUGUUAUUUUAUAAAGAUUAUUAUAUUUAUUUGAUAAAAUUUUAAAAAUAAAUUUGAAGUACUAAAUUUAGGAUUUAUGAUUAACAAAUUUCAACGUAGAAGGGACAACGUAACCUUCCAUCAAAUUUAGAUAGCCCAGCCCAACUCACACCAUUGGGUCACUCUGGUGGUCCAGCCCAAUGUUAAUAUAGCCGAAAACGGUUAUGUAACUAUCCAAUUUCCGAAACGACGUCGUGUAGAGGACUCAUAAUUUUAGCUUAAACCCUAGUCCUGUCGCCGCCGGUGGUCACGCAGUCUCCGGCGACAGUUCCCGCUGUUAGUCUUCUACUACGGUGAAAAUCUCGAUUCUGAUUCUUUCUUUUCAGUGGAAAAAUCUCCGAACCCAUUACUCUACAUUGUUCUAUUCUGAUUUGAAUUUGUUUGCAUUGAGUUGGGUGUAAUUUUUGUUGUGUUAUUGAGUAUUGAGAAAAAUCGAACUUGUGAAUCUAUCAAUGUUGGACGAAAGCAAAUUCGACGUGCAUCUGAAUCUCUGGGCCUUAAGAAUUCCGAGGGAACUUUGUAAGGCCGCCAUUAAAAUACUGAACGGGUACGCUAUGUUUUGUGUUAUAUUGUUUCGAUUUCAAUUAAUCAUUUGGGUAAUGGCAUUUAGCAUUAGUGUUACUCAUAUAUUGUUGUCGUUGAACUGUUCAUCUUUCUUAUCCGAGUUCAUGUUUUUGAAAACUUAUCAGAAUUCUCCUGAUAUUUUUUAGUUUUUUUCUUUGAAAAGUAUUCUUGUUAUUAACUUUUGUUUAAAAGCAGACUUUUCUUUGGCCCUCAGUUCGUUUCUGUUGAAAAAUUUUCAGGUACUUAAUUGACAAGCCCCGGAUUAAACCUGUGACUGAAGAUCCAACAUGUGAUAAGAAUCGUUAUGUUAUAUUAUCUGAAAAGGUUCAAACUCCAGGUAAAGAUCUCCAUCUCCGUCCUCAUAUUUUUUCUGUUAACUAUAAGCUUGGAUUGCAAUUUCAUGUUCUUUAUGGAAACUCUUCUGUAGCACAUUCUGUUCGCUGAAGUUCCAAUUCUUGUUCAUUGAUUUUCUUCAUGUUACCUUAGUGGCUUUCUGGCUCUGUUCAUGCAUUCAAGUUCUUAAAUAGUUCUAAAAUUAUCGAGCGAGUAAUUUUUUAUCUUAAAACUUCAAUUUCUGUAGGGUAUAACCAUCAACUUGAAUGCAUCUUUAGUUAGAAAAGUGUCUAAAAACAGUCUAUAUAUCACAUGAAACCAAAUUAACGUCGUGUAACUAGGUAAUUUUCAUAAAAAUAAUCUCGUUUCCCUUUAAAAAUCACUCAUUUUUUCUCUUCCUUCUUUUUACCUUAUUUUCUCAAUGGAAUUUUCCUCGAUCAUGUCCUUAGAUGACACCAUUUUUCUAUCUUGUUGAUUCUUUGAAUGCUCAGAAUUAUCAGAAAUUCCAGAAAUGAAACUUGAAGAAUUGAAAGGCUUAUGCAUGUUUGAACGAGUUCCCUAUUCACUAACCCUUGGAUAUUCAUAUUGGGGAGCAGGUAUUUUCAAUAAUUCUUCCCUUUAUCACACAUUGUGCAAAUUUUACUUUCACCUUAGGAUUGCCUGUUGAACUCCAGAUAUUUAUAGAUGCCUUUAACUUUCGAGUUGCAAGUCUGAAGUGUUAUGUAAGGCAUAUCUAGCAUCAUUUUUAAUGAUCCCAUUCCCAUGACUCAAAAUCCAAACGUUUUUUACAUUGUGACUGCACAUGUGCUGAUAGAAUGUGGUUGUCUUUGCCUCUCAUUUGAUAUUAUAACUACAUGUGAUGUGACCGUUCUACAUCAAGCGGUUGCAAUUAUAAGAACAAUGUUCGAUUUCUGAAAGAUAGUUUAAACAAUUCUGUGAGCGAAUUUACCCGUCAUUUGAUGUGUUUGUAUUGUACAUACGUAACUAACUUACUGUGUGGUUGCUCUGUAGAUCAUAUUCUCAAGAAGAUUUUGCCUCCUGAAGUGGAAGUGCCUUCAUCUUUUGAGACAAUAGUUAAGUACUCUAACCCCUGCCAUGUUCCACCUACGCUUUCCUUUCUACAUUUUGUAUCCAUUUCCAUAUGCUCUUUAUAGCUUUUAUGUGCGUUCUUUUGUUGCUCUGUAUUACAUUUUGGUACCACUUGUUUAUGUGACAUUGGUUGUAACGUUGCUUUUUCAUGUACAACUAUUAACAUUGAGGUAAUUUUGUACUGUGAUUUGCAGGUCACGUUGCUCACCUGAAUAUACAUGACGAAUUACUUCCAUAUAAGGAUGUCAUUGCGAAGGUUAUUUAUGAUGUAUGUCAUCAGUAUCUAUUUACUUAUUUUCCUAAUUAUUUUGAAAUGUACAUUGUGAUUUAUUAAUCACUAUAAUUUAGCUGUUAGUUCAUUUUUUUAUUCUUAAUUUUGUUUUACUCUCCCCUUCUUUUCCUCCGUGCAUAUGUUGGGGGUACCUUUUUAAGAAAUUCAAAUGUUCAGAAUCGGAUAUUUAAUAUUUUUAUCCUCCCCCUUCAUCCAGCAAUAUGCACACACACACAUUUUCCAUAUUGAAACUUUUUCUGUAACUAUUUCUUUUUGUAAUCUUUGCAGAAAAAUUAUCCCAGGAUUAAAACAGUUGUAAAUAAAGUGGGUUCUAUAACAAAUGAGUUUCGGGUUCCAAAGUUUGAAAUACUGAAGGGAGAGAAUGAUAUGGUAACAGAAGUAAAGCAAUAUGGGGCGACUUUUAAGCUCGACUACAGUUUGGUCUACUGGAACUCAAGAUUGGAACAUGAACACAUAAGGCUGGUUUCACUCUUCCAACCAGGAGAGGUAAUUUGUGACAUGUUUGCUGGUAUUGGUCCUUUUGCAAUUCCAGCCGCCCAGAAAGAAUGUAUAGUAUAUGCCAAUGACUUGAAUCCAGACAGCAUCCGAUAUCUGAAGGUUAAUGCAGAAAUCAAUAAAGUUAGUGGUCGCGUUCAUGUAUAUAAUUUGGAUGCUAGAAAGUUUAUUUCUCAAUUGAUGAUAGUUCCCCCUAAUGAAAGUAAUUCAGAAUCUGUCACCUCAAUACUAAAAGCUUGUGAGAAGGGCAUUGGAGGGACCAAUCAAGAAUCACCAUUGGCAAAUGGUAUGCCGACUGGUAUUAUAUUAUUAUUAUCAUUUAAAGAAAAUUUCACAUCGUCUUCAGGAGAUUAGUGUAGAUGAUCUUAAUUUUCUUUCUUGCUUCAGUUCAGGUGCAAGAAGUUCAAGAUUAUAUUAAAAUUAGCAAUAAAUCUGUAGAACAAUCAAGGAGUGCUGAUAUAUCCGUUGCUGUUCUUAAAAGAUCCUCAGAAAGUUGUGAGAACGAGAAAGGUAACAUACUCUACCAUAGUUUGUGAUUGAACAACCAAGACCGUUUCUUCCUAUAAUUUUUUUUGCAGAUUUUUUUUAAUGAAAAUUUGCUUUGCAGACAAUGGAAUUGCUGAUGAUGCUUCCACUCGUGUAGCCGGUAGGAGAAAUGGAAACGGAAAUAAGAGGAUGAAGGGGUCCAGUGUAUCUCAUGCUAGGACCUGGGAACACGUUGAUCAUGUGAUUAUGAACCUCCCUGCUUCUGCUUUACAUUUUCUUGGUACGAAUGACCUUUUUUCUUUUUAAAUUUCAUUUCACUUAUUGCAGUUGUUUUAGCAUAUUUCUCUACAUUUGUGUGUCAGAAUGAAGAGUUAAAAGUUGGGGAAAUAACAAUGUUAGGAAAGGGAAACAAUUACUUUUUAAUGCUUCAAAUAUGAAGGGAAACCAUAAACGAUUUUUUCUCUCUUACUAUCACCAUGACAGAUAUUUUGGAUAUGUCAUAUUUCCUAAUUCCUACCUUUCAAAUGGAAUUCUUUGUUGUAAGUUUUGUAGUCACUCUCUAUACCAAUUUUAUGAGUUUCUUCAAUCUCCUUUAGCUCUUGGGUGAGGGAGAAUGCCUUAUCUCCUCCACUCAAUUAUCUCAACUCGUGUUUUUUAUCCAUAUCUAUAUUUUGCUUAGUUAACCAAUGAAGUAUAUUUUGUUAUUUUCUUGCCAGAUGCAUUUAGAGGCUCAAUUAAGAAGAAAUACUGGAAGGGCUCCCUUCCUUGGAUUCACUGUUACUGCUUCAUGCGAGCAAAUGAAAACCAAGAUUUUAUCAUUUCGGUAUGUGUAUACUAAAUUACUAUAGAUCCUUAUUUGUCUGUCUUCUUUUUGAUAAUUGUAUUUCUUUCUCACCAUUCUAUUUGGAUAUCUGUCUUGAAAAAAGUUGUCUUUCUUCUCAUACCAUCCUCUUUUAACUGUUGCACUCCAGGAGGCUGAGUCUGCCUUGAAUGCUAAUAUUCAAGACCCCAUUUUUCAUAGGGUCAGAGAUGUUGCACCAAACAAGGUAUUGCUUUGUGUGUGUGUGUAUAAAUGGAAACUACUUGUUUUUAACUCUUUUUUCUUUUUUGUUUUAUCAGGCUAUGUACUGUUUGAGCUUUAGGCUUCCGGAACAAUGCGUUGAUGAAGACACGACUAGCUAAAAUCGAGUAAAACUUUUCUAUCUCUCGGGGCUUCAUUUUCUUGUUCUCACAUCGUCAUAAUUCAUGUUUGUUUCUCAUUUCUGAGAUGUACAAGCUAGACGUAUGAUAUCGUAGGCUAGCGCUUGGGUAUUUCAGUUCUAAAGUUGAGAUUGGUGUUUGGAAAAUUUUCCAGAUUUGCUCAGUAUAAUUCAUAACUAAUCACUUGAAUUUGUAUAAAACAAAUGUCUCAUGUCCUAUGUUAUAACAAUAUCCAUUGAUAGGCGUAGUACGUACCUUGAUGAAAGUGCUUUUCUAUUCUUUAACAUCAAAAUAUGGUUAUUAAUUGAAGAUUGUAUUGUUAUCCUGUCCAAAUUAAGCAUGUUUUUAAGAUAUUUUACAUACAUGACAAUAAAAAAUAUUGUUAUCCUGUGUAGGGAUGAGAAUGAUAGACUAAAAGAUCGAGUGGACUAACAAAACUAAAGUCAGUUGAUGUCAGUUUGAAACUUUCCAAAUCGAGAAAUGUUAAAGAGUUAAACCAACCCACCGACACAUUUAUUCAUCGACGGUCUAAGGAUGGUUUGAACAUUUACUAAAUCGAUCAUAGUCAUUUCGAUGGCGGUUUGGUCAAAGAAUUGACUUCAACUGGCCGAUGAUUGCCUUUAAUUUUAUCAUUUUUAAUAUUCUUACCUUUAUAGUAAUUGUCCUAACAUUACCUAAUCGAUUGAUAAUGAAAAGUAACAAAAUGAUGAUAUGAUUGUGAUAGGACUACGUUCAAGACUUGUCAAGAUUCUAACUUAAUUGUAUGUCCAUUAUUAUUGUCACAAGAGUCGUCUCCCUUAUCAAGCAGUGGAUCUAGCCAUGACUAAACAUUAUGUUUAGUCCUUUUUUUUUUUCUUAAAUCAUAAUCACCAUCAAUGUUUGUUUGAUGGAAUAAUGAGAAAAAUGAAUAUUUGGAAAUCAGAGAAAAUGAUUUAUCAUGAUUUGGGACAAAUAAUUUUCUAUCUAAUGUUUUUGUACAAAAAUAGCUUUUAAAUUAAUCCAAGAUAUUAAAAGUACUUUUUAUUUGUUAGGAUAAGAUUACAAAAUACUUUUAUUUUUAGAAAAUAUUAUAAAAAUUGUUAAAAUCAUUCCAAAGGCUAUAAUAGACAUGCUUUAAAUUAUGUUUUUUUUCUUUUUUAAAAGUAACCAUUGUUUAAGUACUAAUUUUGUAUUUGCAAAAAAAUAAUUAUUCUAAAUUUAAUUUAUUUUGAUUCUCAUACUUUCUAUCUAUACAAAAUUUCAAAAAAUUUAAAAAAGAGUCAUUUAGUUCUUUUUUUCUUUUUAUAUUUUAGAUUUUAAUUUUAAAAAUUAUCAUUUUUUAAAGUAAAAUGUCAAAUUGAAUAAAAGUUGAAAGUAUAUUAAACAAAAUGAAUAAUUUAAAAGCACAAUGAUAAAUUAUAUAAAAAUAAAUAAAAGUACAACGUAAUAUUUAAAUUCAAGAUUAAUUUGAUUUAAAAACUAUUUUUUCACCAGGUAUUCCAAACAAAAAUAAUCAAAACAAAAUUGACAUAUUUUCUUAUUUGGUGAGUCAACUUGGGUCAACCACCUUUUUGACAACUUUUCCAUUGAGAGGAGAAGGCUUCUUUCUUGCAAGGCAACAUUUUCCCAACAACUUACCACGAAUAACAUUUAACCCAAAAGUAAUAGAAUAUAUAGUACAAUAACAAAAUAAUUAUAUAUAACAUAAAAUUAAUUUAAAAAAUAACAAAAUAAAUUAAAAUAUUUAAAUUUUGGUUGUAAAUAUUUUGUCAAAUUUGCUAUUUUUGACAAUUCUAUAAAAAAAAUCCUAGAUGUAGUUAACAAUGAUAGUAGCUAAGAACGAUAGGUUUCUUUUUUCAAAUUAAAAGUCAGUAAUAAUUUUCAAUUUAAAAAAUGUGUUAUCAGUUACUAUCAUUGAUACUACCUGUUUGUGAUAACUUCUAUCGAUAAUAAUCACUAAAGAGCAUACAUAACAUUUACUAUUUUUACAAAUAUUUUAUUUUGUACUAUAUUUUAAAUUUAUUUCUCACUAAGUUUUUCUUUUUCAUAGACUAAUAAGGCAAUACAUAAUCAAAAAAAUUAUUUAUGAUUCUUUUAAAAAGAUACCAAUCUCUUUUUUCCUUUUUAAUAAAUCCAUUCAUGUUUUUCUUUAUAUAUAUAUCAGAUUUGCACUAUUGUUUUUCUUCUUCCUCUUUUUGUAAAAAUAAUAAAGGGACGAACUUUGGGAAAGAGACCAAUUUCUAAAGCAAAGAUAGAUUAGAUGAAAACAUUACACGUAGAUUUUGGCUGGAAAGCUAUCAAUUUGGAUCAUUCUUUUUCAUUAACAUUAUUUCAUUAAAUUUCUAUUUUUUUUUUAUCUUUUCUUUAAAAAAAAUUACUUCUUUUCAAGAUUUUAUCAUCACAGUUUGCAUUAUCACCAUACAAUUUUUUUAAAAAAAUAUUAUAAUUUCAACCCAACUUGUAAAAUUAAUUUCCAAAAAUCACUUUAAAGUUCAUCCUUCAAUAUUUCAUUAUCAAAUUGGAGACCAUGUUACUAGAUAAUCAUCAAACAUGUGCUUUUUUCUUUUCAAGUUGAUAUACUUUUUUUCCCUUUAGUGAUUUCAAAUAUUUCUAACGUAAGUGCAUACUGCUAUUUAUUUAUUUUGACUAUAAUAAUAUAAUAUCAAGAUUUGUCUAGUUUGUUUUUUGAUAUAAUAUUAUACAAAACAACUAAUAUUUGUUAAAUACCAAUAACUAUGUUAGUGAUUUAUAUUUAAUAUAAUCCGAUUUUUCUAAGCCAACUCUCUUAAAGUUUGGAAAUAAAAAAUUUUUAGAUCAUAAUAAGCAAGCAAAAAAAAAAAAGUGUGAUUAUGUAAUGAAGAGUGAAUAUAUAUAUCUCUCAAAAGGAAAAAAAAAUCACACCUUUAUUUCCACGUUGUAAAGUGCUUUUUUUGGAGACCCUUUCUGUCAAAUGUGAUAUUUUUUAUAAUUAAAAGAAAUUGAAAAGUAUAUUAAAUCAAAGCUAUGUUAACCAAUGAAGAUACUCUAAAUAAUUUGAUAUUUAGAAUCAAGCAAACAAUUUAAAACUAAAAUGAAAAAGAAUUUUUAAUAAUUUAUUUUUGUUAUGUGAAAUUUGGUUGGAAUACAAAUGGGAUGAAAAUCGUCAUAAAAAAGCGUAAGAAAAAGAAAAACAUAAUUUAAUCAAACAAUUGAGGUUUUCUUGCUUUGGUAUAAUUUUUUAUCAAUAUUUUUAAAAACUAAAAAAUUAAGAUAAGAAUUGUUGAGAUAAAGUGAAAAUUAAUUUGAACAAAAUUUUUUGGUUCAAUAUUUGUAAAUGAAUAAAACUAUAUAUAUAAUACGUGUUAUUGGAGCUGUGCACACCACCAUAACUGAAUAACUGAAUUAAGUAACGAAUCUUUUAUUUUGCUUUGUGAAGCUUUCUCCCCUUUAGCUCUUCAAAAUCCUAAUAUUUCCAUUUCCAUAUCCAUACAACUCCUUUCUUGAUUCUAUCUUUGUUAAAAGAUUCAGAUUCAAAGAUUGAGAGAAACCCAUAAAAAUGUCAAGAAAUUGUAUAUUCAGAAUAUUAUUAGUUUUGUUGUGGUUGUUGAUGAUGAUUGUUCCAAAUGGUUUAAGUGUUGGAGUGAACUGGGGAACUAUGGCUACUCAUCAGCUCCCACCAGAGAAAGUUGUUAAAAUGCUUCAAGAAAAUGGGUUUCAUAAAUUGAAGCUUUUUGAAGCUGAUGAUAGGAUUUUGGAAGCACUUAUUGGAAGUGAUAUCGAGGUUAUGUUGGCUAUUCCUAAUUCAAUGUUGUUUCUUAUGAGUCAAGAUCCUCACGCUGCUGCUUCUUGGGUUGAUUCUAAUGUUACUGCUUAUACUUAUCAUGGUGGUGUCAAAAUCAAGUUGAGUUUUGAAGAUUCUUUUGAUUAAUAAUUUUGAUCUUCUUUGAUUUGUUUUUUUCUCGUUUUUUUGGUGCUCUUUAGGUGUUUGAUGAAUUUCCCACUUCAGGGUUUCUCUGUUUUUAAUAUGUUGUUCAUUCAGCUGCUGCUAUCCUGCUGAUGAUGCUGCUUUCAUUUUCUUUGUUUACUUAUUCGAAAAGCCGUUAUCACAACGUAGCUAAGAGGAUAUUUGUGAGAAAGGGUCAUAAUCACUCUCAUAUAUGUCUUAAAUGAUUUAGAAUCAAUUUAUACCAUCCAAAUUGAUUUUGAAUGAUUUAAUGCAUGCUUCGUUAUGAUUUUGAACAUGAUAAAAAGUUAAAAUUACUUAUAAAAAAUAUUCUAAACACUGUUUUUAGUUCGCUAAAAGGAAAAUUUCAGUUUUCUAAAAAGCAUGUCGGUUAAUCUUAGUGUUACUAAUUUCAAGUUAGAUCAUUUGGUCAUGUUCUUUUAUGGAUUGUAGUUACUAGUUUAAAUGAUUAAAUAUAAGCUAAACAUGAUAUUGAAAGGAUUAAAAUUAGCUAAAUAACUUUUGAGUACUCUUCAAAAAGUCAUGUUGGGUAAUCACACAGUACAGUGUCACUAUGUCACUAAACAUGAUAUUAUCAGCUGGGUUGAACUAAUUAGUUUCAUUGAUCACUUCACAAGGAAGUACUAUUUGAGUUAUAAAACUAUUGAAAAGUAAUCAAAUGCCCCUCUUAAAUAAGGGUCAUUUCUUGGAGAACCAUUCUUUUGGCUGAAAAAGUAGAGAUUUAUGAAGUUAAAAUUAGCUAAAAAAUCAUAUCGGUUCUUUGUCUUUCCCAUAAAAUUCCAUUGGAAACUGAUCUUGCAGGUAUGUUGCUGUAGGCAAUGAGCCCUUUCUCAAGUCUUACAAUGGCACUUAUCUUCCGUUAACAUUGCCUGCUCUAAGGAAUAUCCAACAAUCCCUAAAUGAUGCAGGGCUUGGUUCAAAGGUCAAAGCUACUAUUCCUUUCAAUGCUGAUAUUUACAACUCCCCCGACUCAAACCCGGUUCCAUCUGCAGGCGAGUUCCGUCCUGACGUUCGAGACUUAACGAUCGAGAUUCUACACUACCUAUCGAUAAACAACGCACCAUUCACAGUCAAUAUCUACCCCUUCCUUUCCCUAUAUGGAAAUGACUACUUUCCAAUAGACUUCGCAUUUUUUGAUGGAACAGCAUAUAGGCCAAUCAAAGACAGAGAUCUAACGUACACGAAUGUGUUUGAUGCAAAUUUCGACACACUCGUAUCAGCUCUAGCAAAAGCAGGAUACCCUGAUAUGAAGAUCAUCGUAGGAGAAGUUGGUUGGCCAACAGACGGCGACAAACACGCCAAUGUACAAAACGCAAAACGAUUCAACCAAGGAUUGUUAAGACAUGCUUUAAGUGGACAGGGAACUCCAGCAAGGGUAGGCAUAAUUGAUGUCUAUCUUUUCAGUCUAAUUGAUGAAAAUGCUAAAAGUAUAGAACCAGGGAGCUUUGAAAGGCAUUGGGGAAUAUUCGAAUUUGACGGUAAACCGAAAUAUGAACUAGACUUGGCUGGAACAGAAGAAGAAAAAGGGUUAAUACCAGUUGAAGGAGUGAGAUAUAUGGGGAAAAGAUGGUGUGUUUUGAAUCCAAAUGUGAAUGAUUGGGAAGGUUUGGCUGAUAGUGUAGACUAUGCUUGUAGUUUAUCAGAUUGUACUGCAUUGGAAUAUGGAUCUUCUUGCAAUCAAUUAUCUGCACAAGGAAAUGCUUCUUAUGCAUUUAAUAUGUACUAUCAAGUGAACAGCCAAAAGAGUUGGAACUGUGAUUUUGAUGGUUUGGCUGUGGUGACUCAACAAGAUCCUUCUUAUGGAAACUGCCAGUUCCCAAUUAUGAUUGAUUAUACCUCUUCUUCUUCUUCUUCUUCUUCAUUUCUGGUUUAUGAAAGAUUUUCUGAUCUUCUUGUUGCAGUUUUUAUGGGAAUUGUAGUGUUUUUUAUUGUGCAAUAUGAACAGUGAUGGAUUUUGGUAAUGAUUUUUGUGAGGAAUUAGUUAAGAUCAUUUGGAAGUUGUUCAUAGUUUUCUUAUUUGCCAUAUAGCCUCUCAUGUAUAAUAGAUUCAAAUUUUGGUUUCUUUUUUAUUUCACCCUUUAUUUUGCUUCUUUUAAUAAAUAAAUAUAUUUUGGACAAUGCUCGUAAUUUCUUUUUCUGCCUUAUAUCUUUACAUAAUUAUUUGAAGCGCGCGCUAAGUUGAGUUAAUAUGAUGAAAUUAAAAAAAAAACGACAUUUCAUGAUAGAUGUGCAAAUUUUAAUAGAAAACACCCUCAAAAUUUAGUAAUGUAACACCAGCUUAUGGAGAGAGUGGGUUUAUAAAAUUUAAAUUCACGUGAUUUUAACUUAUAACAAAAAUUCACGGGAUAUUGAGAUAUUUUAAGUCAAAAGUCAUGGAUUUUUCAUUUUAUGAAGAUACGUUUCAUGUUUAUUAUUUAUAUUAGAUUUAUAUAUGUGACAUUUUCUUGUUUAUUUUUUUAAUUUUUCUAAACUUUUUUCAUGUUAUAACGAUAAUAUUAAUUCAUCCCUCGUACCAUAUCAAACUCAUAAAAGCAUGAAAGUUCUGGCACAUAUAUGAAAAUUUAAUACAACAAACAAAACAAAUAGAAUUGUUAGACUAAAAUUAAACUUAAAGUUAGUUCAACUUUACAAGUCAAAAUAUAAGAGUAAUUAAUAAAUGAAAGAUUGUAGUCAAUUGCAAAACCACCAUUUAAAGAAAUUAUGCCCACAUACUUACCCAUAGGCAUUUCAAUAAGUAAACUCCCAAAAUAAGAAAGAAAAAUAAAUUCCUAUUUUCAUCGACUUUUUUUCAAUAUAUAUAUGAUUUAUAUAAUUUAAUUAAUUUAAACCGUCAUAGCUGUUGUAUUGGUUUGCCUUCAAUGCACACAAAUAAAAGGUUCAUUAUGGAACAUGUCACCUCCAAAUUCACAUUUAUAAUAUAUGGUCUCAAACUUAGAUAUAUGGCCAAUAAUAUUUAUGGUGCCGAACUCUUAGAUUUACAAAAUAUGAUACAUUUAAUACUACUCAUCUCCAUCCGUUCCAAACAUAUAACAUUAGUCAUUAACAAUUGAUAGAUAUAUGACUUUCUUAUAGAAUUUUUGAAUAUUUAAAUCUUGUCCGUUGUAUCUGGAACGUUAAAACUAAUUUCUUAGAUAAAAUUUUUUAGUGAAUUUUAUCUAAUCAUUAUUAUUGGUUAAUUUGUAAAGAAUAACAUAUUAAUUAUAUAUGAUUAAGAAACUGAAAGUUGAGCCCAUUGGUUAUUUAUCUUUAAUUUAUUGGUUAAAGAAUAUUAUUAUCACUUGUUUUCAAAUAUAGCUAAACGAGAUUAAUUAUUUACUUAAUUUGUUUUCGGUAGUUUUAUUAUUUAAAAUAAUUUUGAUAUUAAUUUUGCUAUUAUAUGGUUUAUGGUUGAAAAGUUGAACAAGAUAUAAGAGGCUCAUAUUCACAUGUCUCAAAAGAGGAGUUAUUAAUGAAUCUGUCAUCUAAUCUUUUUCUUGGUUUUCUUUAUAUAUACUUGAUUUAAGAAAAUUAAAAAGAGUAUAUAACCAAAGUUGGUUGGUCUUUUUUUUUUUCAUUUUUUGGAAUAGAAAAGUUGAUGAAAGUUUAAAUCACCGUUACUAUGGUUAAAUUUCUACGGUGGAUUAAAAAUAAUAAUCUUUUAUCAACCAACUACGUGUAUAUGACUAUCGUUUAGAGGUCAUGAAUUUGAAUCACAUAAUCUUACAAGCUAAAAGAAUAGUUGUCUUCCUGUUAAUCGUAGAACAAUACGUGUUUUGAUAUGCACUUUCAUAGUAAAAAAAAAAAAAAUCAUUGUGACUAAAAGAUGAGGUAUUAAUUAAUGUUUAAUAUCUGACGAAGAAACCCACCUAACCUUCAAAUACGAUCAACGUGAGUGAAUUUGUAAUUUAAGAGGUCACUAAGAAAAAUAGUUUUAAUUAUAUAUACAAUAAAGCUAAACUUACGGUUCCCUUUAUCCCUAUAGAAAUAGGACUUGAGAAGCCUUGAUCGAACAUGAACAAGGGGAACAAACUAGGGCAAACUGGCGAUUUGCCUUAAGGGGCAAAUUGGUCGGCCUUGGUCGAGGUUGAAGAUGGACUUUUUAAGCUUAGAUCGGUCUAAUUAGUACUUCAUUCACUCUCCAACAACGUCGUUGCAUGAACUCGUUUCUUGUCCGUCUUUCGUUCAUCUUAGAUAAGACAACUUUCUUGACUUUACUCUUAAAUUUUAUCUUCUAAUCUCUUGAUCUUUCUCAUAAAUUCGAAAUUAUCAUCAAAUAAUAUUCGCCACGGUAAUUAACAUAUUUGUAUUUUUUUUUCCAAAAUGAUAUUGAUAACAAUAACACAUUUACAACACACCAAAUUAUUUAGCUUAAUUAGUCAUGACUCCUCUUUUUUUUUUAAUUUUAAUGAGUAUAAAGAAAAAAAUUCCAUACCUAGCUAAACCCUAAAAUAAUUAAUUAUGAUAGUCUUCUUAAAUGUAAUGUAAUCUAUAUGAUCUAAAUUAGUCAACAUAUAUGUUGUUUCUUUUAUUAGGAUUCCAUUUUUGUUAUCUUCGUCUUUUGUUUUCUCUAUGGUUAUAGAACUACUUUAGAGUUUGGCUUUUUUCUUCUUUUGAAAACAAUAUUAUUAGUUUUAAUUUCUAACAUCUAUACCUACUUGUAAAAAAAAAAUUACAUCAGACGUUAAAAACAUUGAAAAAAAAAAAUAGUCAAUAGCACAUUUUUUUAUAUAUAUUGCAAAGCAAAUAUGACAAGUAAUGAAGUGAUACUCAUUAUCAAAUAGCUAUUAGAAGGUUGUCGACUUUUCAAUUUACUACUUUUGCAAUUUAUACGGCGUAGUGAUAAUUAUUAUAAAUUAUUUUACUAUUUUUGUAAGCACUAAACCUAGACAUUGCAAAAUUGAAAAAAAAAAAACCUUUCUCAUAUUUUAUAAAUAUUUUUAGUACAAUAAGUUUUGUAAUUUAUAAUUUUAUUUUUGAAAUUUUGCUUACAUUUUAAAUUUGCUUCUUUUUAGGGUGGUGAAAUAUACAUACUUAUAUAAAAUGUGUGCAAAAGAAGAAAUAGUUAUUAAAUGUAAUGCGAAUAUAUUUUGUUUAUAAUCGAUAAAAGUUAAUAAACAUUUAAUUCAAAUUAACAUCUAGUAAGCAAAUCCACGUCAAUAUUUUCAAAAUUUUAUUGUUGGAAUUUUCAUAAAUGACAAAAAGUUUCUGAAAAAAUAAACCACAGUAAACUAACCAUAAAUACUAAAUUUAAGAUUUAUGGAUGCAAAUAUAUAGACCAAAAUUAAACUAAAGUUCUAAAAGUAAAUUAAAACGUGAUAUAAUAAUUUUAACUUAAUAAAAGCUAUUGGUUACAACUACUUACAAGUUACAACCAUCUAUGUUCACAUACAUCAUUAAUUGGUAAAUGGAAGGAAAUAAUAUAAAAUAUAUAUGAUCCAAUUUGAUUCGUAUGGUUCUUUUUUACAAAAAUACGAAAAAAGAGAAAAGAAAAUUUAUAAAAAAUAAAGCAUUUGACAAAAAUAUUAUGAAUUUUAUCUUUUAGUGAUUUUGUGACGUGAAAGGUAAAUAGUUUGUGAAUUUUUUUGUUUUUUUUUUAAUUUCAAUAAAAAAUAUGAAUAAUUAGAUAUUUGAUAUUUUGAAUAAAAUAUUAUUACUAGACAACCUAUUUAAAUAUUGGAUCUCUCGAUUGCUAAUAUAUGUUAUAUGUCGGUUGAGUCAUGAUCGAUUUACACAAAUAUAAAAACUUUAAAAGGUAUAAAGAUCAACAACUAUAUAUUUAUAUAUAAUUUAGAUACACAUUCUUACACUGCAUUAAUAUUUUACUAUAGUUAGGUUAUUGUUACUUUUAAGAGAAUAUGUCAAGCUAAUGGUAUAUUUAAUUUGGUUUAAUGGAAAUUUAGUCAAAGAGACCUUGAAAUUUUAUCUAACAUCACAAAUAUAAUUUGAUUUUCGUUAUAUAUAUGUAUAUAUAUAUAUACACACACUUGUAUACUAUAAACUAAACAAAUUAAUAGAUUGUUUACAAUUAACAAAUUUAUUGAUUUGAAAAAAACAUAUUGUUUACAGAAUUUAGGUUGGUGGAUACAACUCUUUGCCAUAUUAAACAAAUAAUUUCUAUAAUACAAAAUUAUUCAGACUCGACACAACUCUUUGUAAUAUUAAACAAUAAUUAAUUCCACAUUUAAUAUUGAGAUUUAUAAUUGACGUCAAUUCUAUAAAUUAAAAAUAUAUUUUACUUUUAGUAUGAAAAAGUUUGAACAAAAUAAUAUUUAAUUAGUUUUGUUUUGUUGGGACUAGUCUUAAUAAGUGUUAUAGGGGUCCAUUUCCAAUAUAUUCAAGAGUGAUGGUGCAUAAAUAAUUAUGAGUUAUGGAUAAAAAUUUGAAUGCAUGUAUUAUCGUUUAUUUUAUGGAUAUCCUUCAAUAAACAUUUUUUUUAAUUUAUUUAUUUACGAUCGAUUAUAUUAUUAUUUCAAAUAAUAAUUGAUUAAUGGGUCGAUAUUGUUGAUUGUUACUAAUUUUAUUAUCAAGAAUAAUUAAUUUUGCUUCAUAAAAUUUAAAAUUUAAGCUUGUUCAAAUAAUAAAUUCAUCAAUUUUGUCUAUUUAGUUAAAAAAAAACAGUUUGUUGAUAAAAGUGUUUAAAAUAUGAAAAGUGAUUAAAUUCAUGUUUGAAUUUUGGACGAUUAUAAUCCACAUUUAAUUCUUAUUAUGAAAACUAUUAAUGGGAGGUUGAAAUUAUGUUUCUAUUACAUUGCCAGGUGUAAUGUAGAAAAUGAAUUGGAUGAUAAUAAAUAAUAUGAUUGCUUUAACUAAUCUAGAAAAUAAUGUGAUGGACAAAAUUGAAAGAAAAGUUAUAUCGAACUGAUGUAAAGGUCAAACUAUCCACUUCCAUUUCAUACAUCUAGAAAACUAUGUAAAAUAAAGUAAUAAUGUAGAGAACACAAAGAUAAGAAUUAAAUAUAUAUAUAUAUCAAUGAAAAUAUUAUAUAAAGUUUUAAAUUUUAUUAGACAACGUCCUUGUUUUAAUCUUGUAACACUUUAAAAGUAACGAAACAUUAAACCUAUUUACAAACUAUAUCAAAAUUCAUCAAUUUCAAAUAAUUUUUUUUUUCUAUUUAUAACAAAUUCUUAAAAGAUUUAAGACUUUUAUCCAUAUUUUUUAUUCAUCAGAUUUCAAUUUCAUUAUAAAAAUAUUUGAAUUUAUAGUUAAACUAUGAUUUUAUGUGUGAAAAUAAACAUAAGCUCGAUUCAUGGCGACUACCUAUCUAAUAAUUAAUUUCCUAUAAAUUUUAUUGACACCAAAUGUUAGAGGAUUAGGCGAAAACAUUUAACAAAUAUAGUAUUUUAUGUCAUAAACAAACUAAAAAAUGAAAUAUACAAUAGACUAUAAUUUGUUUUCUCAAAUAAAAAUAUACUAUAAAUAAUGUGAUCAUAUUAUAAUUUUAAAAAAUAAAUUAUGUAAUAUUUUUUUUGAAGGCGUAUAUGUAUUAAACACCAUAAAGAAACCACGCAGUCGGAGAUCAAGGCACAAAGCAAAGUUCCCUAUGAUAAGAAACGAUGAUGUCCUAAACACAAUCAAAUCAUACAGGAAAAAUCGAUGCAACCAAAGCAAAUACAAAAGAGAAUACAACUAAAGCUACUUGCAAUAUUUUUAAACCACAAUAAAAAAUCGCAGAAUUAUAGAAGCAUAACAAGUCACUCCGGUCGAUUGUGCUAUUACGAUAAAAUAAAUAGCAAGAGACCACAACACACACUCCUAACAAACUACUCUAUGAGAACCUGACGGUUGAAAGCACACUAAAAGAACAUCGAACAAACGGGUUGUUCCGAUGCAACUGUUCCGUAAGCUCAAAUUAAUUAAGGAUUAGUUUAUAUUUGUAAUUACAUUAGUUAGAGAACAUAUAUUUAAAAAAUAGAAUACAAUUAAAUCCUUGUAUUUUAAAAUUGUUUUCUUUUUUUUCUUUUGCUAAAGAAACCGAACUUGCCAACGAUAAAUGCGAGCAAUAAUAAUAAAGGAAGGUGGUGGAUACGGGAGAGAAGGUUGAAAGAAAAGGACGAGGGAGGGGCAAAAGAGUAAAUAACAGAAGAACUGUGGUUGAAUUUGGAAAUUUGAAAGAAAGGGCGGGACCGGGACAGGUGGUUGCUAUAUAUCUCGUUGAGGGGCCUGGGAUCUCUCAUUCGCAUACACACACCUCUUUCUAUCUCUUUCUCUCUCGUGUAUCGUUUCCUCCUUUUUAUUUUUUUGGCUUUUCAAACGAAAAUCGGGGCUCCUUAAAAGAGGGAAAAACAAGAUCGCAAACCCUAAAAAUCGACUAACAACAAGGGUUUGUUGAUCCCCUAAUGAAGCACUAGCCAUUUUUCCUGCAUUUUUCUUCAUCUGUUGCUGCUCUAGAUUUGGAUUCUCCUACUACAAUUAUCAAUCCUGUUGUUUUCAGUUUCACCAUUUUCAAAAGCCUUCUUCAAGGUUUGCAUUCAAUGUUCUUUCCUGGUAUUCUCGUUUUAGAUUGCUGUUUUUAUGUUGUUGAGAAUGUGAGAGAUGUGUAGUGUUCAUUUUUGUUUGGAGAAUUGGAACUCGAUAUAUUCUGGAAAUUUGAUUUUGUCGUGAGAUUUUUGGGUUUUUAGUUGAACUCGUUCCAUUUCGUUUCGUUGUUCUGGAAACUCUUUGUUUGUUCUCGAUGUUUCACUUUGCGAUUCUCGUAUGGUUUUGAUUUAUAGGUAUUUUAAAUUUCAUGUGUUUGUUCUUUCUAGUAGUUUUGUGUACUAUUCUUUGACUUCGGAAUGGUUUUUUAUCUUCUUCUUUGGUCAAGUAGUGGGGUGGGACAGAGUAGAUGUAUAAAUUGAAGGCACGGUUCUUUUAGGUAGUCUGGUUGCUGUUGGUUAUUAUUAUUAUUAUUUUUUUUGGAGUCUUCAGUCAUAAGGAACUUUAAUUAUUCGGUCUAGGACUUUGCUACAGUUCAAUCGUGUUGUUUUCAAUUCAUUUCUGAUUAGAUGCUGAUCUCAUUUGAUUUGUUUUCUUAUAUUCCAAUACAGAUGAAUAAUCUGCAAUUUGGUUCUUGUUGUUUUUUAUAUUUCAUUUAUUAGCAGCAAAGCUUGUGUUCAAGUUAUUUAUUGAUAUACAGUAUACUGAAGUGUUUGAUUUUGUUGUUUGAAGUUCAUCAUGGUAGCAACUGCUGCUACAUCUGCGUUUUAUCCUGUUCCUUCUUCAUCUUCUGAGUUUGGAGCAAAGAACAACAAAAUUGGAGGUGGAUCUGGGAAUUUGGGAGGGAUCAAGUCUAAAUCUGUGCCUUCUGGAAGUCUUCAGGUGAAGACUAAUGCCCAAGCCCCUUCCAAAGUAAAUGGAAGCUCAACUGGUUUAUCAACAUCUGUAGGUGGUAAGGGUGGGGAUGACUUCUCAUCAUCCCACCCACGAACUUUUAUUAAUCAGCUGCCUGACUGGAGCAUGCUUCUUGCUGCUAUUACCACUAUCUUUUUAGCAGCUGAGAAGCAAUGGAUGAUGCUUGACUGGAAACCUAGGCGGCCCGACAUGCUCAUAGAUCCAUUUGGUUUGGGAAGGAUUGUUCAGGACGGCCUUGUGUUUACCCAGAACUUCUCUAUUAGAUCCUAUGAAAUAGGUGCUGAUCGUACUGCGUCUAUAGAAACUUUAAUGAAUCAUUUACAGGUACAAUUGGAUUGAUGUAUUCUUAUGUUUUUGUGAGUAUCUAUUAUUUGUAAUUCUAUGUAUGCUUAUGAAAUGGAGAUAAGUAACUCCGGUCUAUGAUUUUUUUUUCUUCAGGAAACUGCCCUCAAUCACGUUAAGACUGCUGGUCUACUUGGUGAUGGAUUUGGUUCUACGCCAGAAAUGUGCAAAAAGAACCUGAUAUGGGUAGUUACCAAGAUGCAGAUUAUGGUAGACCGUUACCCUACUUGGUAAAUUUAAGUUCUUCCAUGAAGUAUUCGCUUCUAAAGAUGGAUUCAUUAUAACACUUGUGAUUUACUUGGGUGGGUGAGAACAGAAUUGAAUUUAAUUCAAUAGUUUUCCUUGUUUGUUUUAUCCCCUUAAGUUACAUAUCCAGUAUUGCCCUGUUCCUUGGGAUUAUUUAACAUAUUCACCUCACUUUCACCUUCCAAAAAUAAUUGAUUAUGGAAACGUUGGACUUUCUAGACCAAUAAGUCUAUGAAGUGGGCUUUGAUUUACACUUUUUUUUUAUAAGGUGGAAGUUUUUGAAGCCUCCCUCUGUCUUUUCUGCUUUAGCUGAUCUCUUCUUCCGUCUUUUAUUAACUAUAUGCAUGAGAUAUUGGAGAUUGUUGUGCUUACAGGGGUGAUACGGUUCAAGUAGACACUUGGGUCAGUGCUUCUGGAAAGAAUGGCAUGCGCCGUGAUUGGCUCGUGUAUGAUUGCAAAACUAGGGAAACUUUGACAAGAGCUUCCAGGUUUGUUACUUUCCCCCUUUUUGAUGAAACAUGGAAUCGUUUUUCUUCAUAGCUGUUGCAUUUUCUUUUUUCUCAACCCAUGAAUUAUAAAGUUAACCAGCUUUGAUUGAAUCGAUAAUCGAGUAAUUCUGGUCAUAGGUGAUGUAGGUUCUUGUAUAAGUUAUGAAUUUCUAAUGUGUGUUCCGUAGAGAACAGAAACAAAAUUUGCAUAAACUACAUUCACUUUUUUUUCAAUCUUAAUUCUAAUUGAUCUUUGCAUUGAGAUCGUGGAUUAUGAUUGCAUUCUUUUUUUCUACUAUCAAGCCAUGGCAUAUGUAGUGAUCAAAUCAUAGUUUACUGAUAGAGAUAUAUUUUUUGUGAUGUGAAGUAUCUGGGUUAUGAUGAAUAAAGAGACAAGAAAGCUGUCAAAGAUUCCUGAGGAAGUGAGGAGAGAAAUAGAGCCAUUCUUUAUGAAUACUGCGCCGGUUAUUGAAGAUGAUGGAAGGAGGCUUCCAAAAAUUGAUGAUGAUAAAGCUGAUUAUGUUCGAGCGGGUUUGACUGUAAGUUGUUUCAUUUAGCUAAAAUGUUACUUGAGAAAAGGAAGUUGGCACUGGGUGUUUUUGUGUUUCAUUUGGAAUUUGGUUCAAUAAUAUAACUUUCACUAUGCUUUUGUACAUAGAAAUUGAUCUCAUGGCACCUACAUUUCUGUACUGCAGCCUAAAUGGAGUGAUUUAGAUGUCAACCAGCAUGUGAACAAUGUGAAGUACAUUGGCUGGAUUCUUGAGGUAGAUAAAUCUUAACUUUUCUUAUCAUUGACUUCGAUACUUUCCGAAAAUAGUGUGCCCCAAAAUUUUCUUAUCUCGCACUCAUACAUUUCUCCAACAUUUUACACCGUAACUGUUCUUCUAAAGCUUGGUUUCCUCUUUUUGAUCGGCAAAUUAUGCUUGUGGUCAAUAGAGUGCCCCACCACCGAUAUUAGAGAGUCAUGAACUUUCUUCCAUCAAUUUGGAGUAUCGGAGGGAAUGUGGGAGGGACAGUGUCCUGCAGUCACUCACUGCAGUUACUGGCACGGAUGUUGGAACUUUAGCAACUUCUGGCGAUGUUGACUGCAAUCACCUACUUCGGUUCGAGAAUGGGGCUGAGAUUGUGAGAGGAAGAACAGAGUGGAGACCCAAAUUGGGCAACAAUUUUAGGAUCCUGGAUCAUAUUUCAGCUGAUCAAGGAAUUUAAGCUGCCAUCUCAGAGGAGUGUUCCUGCUGUAUCCAUGGUUUGCACCAAAUUCUGCUUUAAAUCCUCAGAUAUAUAUGUCUAUAAAUAUGGUUUUUCUCAUUCGUUCUCUUCUAUAAACAGGAAAAGAAAAAGGAAAAAAAAAAGGUUUAAUUUCAUUGUAAUUAUCUCUUAUCUAUUAUUUUUCCCUCUUGUCCCCAGAAGGCUACUAUAUAAUGUGUUUAUCUUGCUCAGCCUGGUCGGUUGCUAUGCAAUCAAUGUGUACCCACCGCUGGCUGAUUGUCUCACAGCAGGUUCGAAAAUAUUUUUGUGUAUAUUUUCUUGCAUUUUCUUUAAUUUUUGUUUGGAACUGGAAAAAAAAAAAGAGAGAUUUUUUCCCCAUUUUUUUGCCCUCGAAUUGUCGCUCUUCUGCACUCACUUUGCUUUGAGCAGAUUGGAAAAUAUUCAUAACUUGUGUUUGAAAUUGGUUGGAAAAAGAAAAAAAGAACCCAGGGGUGAUACUUGUAUGUUUUCUUGCUGUUUCUUUGACUUCUCUUUGGCAUUUUUAAAUACCAUUUUUCUCUCCCAGGAGUUCGAAUUAUCCAAUUUUUUAUGUGUGGAAAAAGCUGGGGUGUCUAGAUUUUCGUCCCAGAAUUAUUUACUUUUGUGGUAGUGGAAUUUGGUAAAAACUAAAAAGUGGCAUUUAUUAGUCUUUUAAUGCUAGCUGGGUCACAGUUAUUGUUUGUUUUGAUUUGAUGGCAAUUACUAAAGCUCAAUUAUUGCACAAAAUUUAUGCCCAUCUCAGUUGGUUAAAAAGCUGGAUGAGUGAAGUGGUGGCUUUUAUAUUAUUAUUAUUUGAAAUUGAUAUUGCAAUUUUCGUGCCUUUAUAAAAGAAUUCUUUGACUUUGACAAAAUAGUUUCAAGAAUUGGACAUUGUGAUUUUUGGCCAUUGAGAUGAAGUUCUCUAUUAAUUGUCUUCUUUAAUAAUAUAAAGUUUUGUUUAAAAAACAUUAUAUAUAUACAUAUAUUUCUUAAAUUAAAAGGUGGCUUUAUAAUUGGAUUUUUUUUUUGUCGUCAUUAUUAUUCUUUGGAUACUAUAAUCUUACUAUAGAGGUGAUUUCUAGUCUCCGUAGUUAAUUCUUUAAAAGAUAUAAUUAUUGGAGUGGGACAGAAGUUGGAUGAACACGUUCUAAUUAAAAAGUUUUGUUUGAUUUUAUAAAAAAAGUGUCUAGUUAUUGGGAUGGUUCUUAAAUUGUAAACUUGAAAAUAAUUAUCCAACAAAAGUGGUAAGGAUAUUGAGUUUGCUUAAUUAAAUAAUAACCUCCAUAGUCCCAUUUUUACCUAAAUGCGAAACUAGCUAAAUAUUACAUAAUAAAGUUAAUGUGGAAAGUAGAAUUUCUUCAACUUUUAACUGCGAACAAUGAUCGGAAAGACUAUUCUCAUGUGAAAUGACCUAAUUCUAGGGAAGUCUCGAAGUUUUGAUGCAAUGUUCUUCUAAAUCACUAGUCGACCAAUCAAGGUUGUAGGAGUUCUCAGGGUGAUGAUUUAAUUUUCAUUGGUUUUUCUGGAGUUGGGUCCUUUCGCGUUAACAGCUUCAUGAUUGGAGAAAAAAAAUAAACUUAUUUGCCUCACCUUGAGGUAAAUACGUUUGAGUUGAUAUAGUGGAGGCCUCUGUCUCACCACUAGUUUUUAGAAACCCAAAGUAUUUGAAACUUACUAUUAAAUUGAAGCCCAACUAAAAGUAUACAAAAAUUGUGUACAUAUUUAUAUAUAAAAUUAAUACAUAAUGUAAGAAGGGUCCAAUAAUGAGAAACAUCAAAAGUGUAUCUCCAUGUGCAAAAAGGCAAGAAAUGAAACUGCCCAUCUGCUGCUCAGUGUGAACUAGGAAGUUAUUAGUCAGAUUGGAUGAGUUUGAAUGCAUUACCUCCGUUUUCUUCAAAAAAGAAAAGAAAAAGAAAAGAAAACCCUUUUUUUAAAAAAAAAUUAUUAUCUCUAUUUUCAUUUCCCAUUAAGAAUUUAUUUCUAAAAAAAUUGAUACAAACCUUAAUAAAAGUAACAAAUAUCAACAUGUCUUCGGGACGAUUCGUACAUUGGUGAUAAACUUCUAUUAUUGUAUCAUUGAUAGACUCGUUUUAUAUGUUAAUAUUUUGAAUUUAAUAACUAUACAUGACAAUUGCACCACUAAUUAAUGAUUUUAUUUUUCUUUUUAAUAAUGUAGGAGCAGGAGAUGAAAUCUUAAACAUCAAGAUUAAGAAUGUUAAAGCUAUAUUCAUGUCAUUUGUUAUAGCUUAGUAGAUUAAUUAUGGAUAUCUAAUUAUCAAAAGAAAUAGGAGUGAAUAAUAUCGUCAAAACCACCCACAACUCUAUGUAAUAAUAAUAUUUUCUUAAAAAGAAGCCUAUGGUAUAGUUAAUUACAUUAAGAAGUAAACAUAGCAAACAUAUAUAUGCUUAUUUUUACAAAUAUAUGUAUGGAUGUAUGAGCUUUUCUUCUUCUUCUUCUUUAAAUUUGUGUGUGUUUUCAAUUAAAAAUUUAAAUGUUAUUAAAUAUGUAUUUAAAUGAGAUUAUGAUAUGAAGAUAGAAAUGAGAUCUAAAUGGCCCAUCACAUGAUGGUUUUGGAAGUACUUUUUUUCUAAAUUAAAAUAUAAAGUGCAAAAUGGGAAAAGUGGACUUGUCUUUGUUAAAAAAAAAAAAUUUAAUUAAAUUUACUGUUGAUGAUGAAAUGUCAAUUGAAUCUCUCUUUUUUGACCUUAAAUAAUAUGGGAAUGGGAAGUGUACGAGUCCUUAUCAAUUAAAAGGAAAAUAAAUAAAAUUAUUAUUUUAGAAAGAAAAAAAAAGAUUGAAUUGUGUAAAAUCCAAAACAACUUUGUAAAAGCAAAAUGGUCAAAUUAAGAUUGUACAUUGCAUUAAAACUUUGGUCUAAAUCCAAUGGAAUCCUAGGGCUUCAUUCUACCCUAACUUCCUUUUUUCUUUUUAAAUAAUUAUAACAGAAAAUAAUUUUAGAAAUAAUAACGAAGUAUAUAACAACAUUUUUUUAAAAAAUUAUAAAUAUAUCAAAGUCUAUCCGUGAUAGACGUUUAUCACCUUAUAAGUGAUAAACCAAUAUUUGCAUGUAAUAUGAUCUAUUAACGAUCAACUUUAAUAGAUUUUGUUAUAUUUGUAAUAUUAUUUUUAAAAUGUUGCUAUAUAGUUAAUUAUUUUAAAUCUAAUGACUAUAUUUGUAACUCUAUCAUUUUUUUUUUUUUUGGUGUAACUUGUUUUUUGGUUUAAGUUUUACUUUCACCGUUGGAAUUUAGUUAGAUAUAGACAUUUGAAGAGUUUUCUUCAAUCCAAAAGAAUGGAUGAUUAAUGUAGAAGAAUUAAAAGAUGUACGUGAAAUUAUUUAGAUAAAUUGUCGAGACAAUUGAUGCAUAAAAUUGAUUAUGUAAAUGAUUUUAUCGAUAUAUAUUUUUAGAUGAAUUGAUCACUUAAAGUAUAACAAAAUCCAAACGUGAGUAUAAAUUAAUACGAGUAUGAUUUAAUACACUUACGAUUUUAAUUGAUACAACCUUUAGGUUGAAGGACACUAGACUUGUAAGUUUUAUUAUUUUAUAUUUAUAUGAAAUAAGUUUUUUUAAAGUAUAAAGGUGAGCAUCGAUCGAUUAGAGUCCGUUUUUCUUUAUAAUCAGAGUCUUUAAAAAAAUUUAAACCGAUAUAGAUCGAACCAUUUCUCCCUCACCGAUUGACUAUCUUCGAUUCGGUUGACAUAGUUGUUCAAUCUAUCGUAUUUACUCCUCGAGAGAACGUUAAACGGAAGAAAAACGUGGGGGGAAAGGAGUAUUUGUUAAGUUGGGCAACAGAAAAUGGUACGUUAUAGUGAAGAAUACAAAGUAUAUGAAAAACCGUGUGCUUCACUGCUGAUCACAACUAAACUGCUUUUGCAGUAAACUCACUUUGGCUUCGUAUGGAGACCCACAUCACUCUCUCUCUCUCUUUUCUUUUGCUUUCAGUGCUAAUAACUCACAUUCCUCCAAUCACAACUUGCCACGUUUACACCCUCCACGUGUCCUUUCCUUCCAUAUCUCUCUUUUCGGAUUCUCGACAUAUAUGGACAAAUCGUAAAAGUGUUCGAAAUUAUUUACAAACACAAUAAAAUUUUAUAGUACAUAAAAUGAUAAAUUUCUGUAAGUGUUCGUUCGAUCUCACCGGUAGAAAUCUAGUCUAUUUUUGAAUUUUUGUUAUAUUUAUAAAUAGUUUAAUUUAUUUUACCAUAUCUAAAAACAAACCCUAACGAAAGUUAUUCUUAAAUUACAUGAGGAUUUAGUACUUAUCAACAUAAUUUUACUGAAAGUAUUUAUUAAAUGUAUUAUAUUAUUAUGAAAACUAAGGGACGAAAACGAAAAUUUUAUUUUAAAAGUAUGUCACGUGUUAAAUUGUGGUUAUACGAAAUAGAGAUGUGUUAUCUAAAUAUUUUUCGUUAAUUAAUAAGUUUAAAUUCAUAUAAAAAUAGAGAUGAUUGAUAAUGCGAAUAGGAUGAAAAAUACAAUAAAUUGUAUAGUUAUUCAAAACACGUUAAUAUAGUCGUGAUUCAAACUCGAACAUAUAUAUCUCAAUUCAUGGUAAAAAUAAUUAAAGAUGUAAAUUUUUUUUAACUUAAUAAAGAAAUAUAAAAUACAACAACAUAUACUUGAAUGAUUCUCUCAUAAAACAAGAAUUGGAAGUAUUAAAUCAUAAUCAAUUAGAGUGUGAAUUUAAUGUUUGGAAGUUAUUGAUUGUCUGAUUCUAAGUUUAUAAUUGUUAGUGGUUGAGAUGUAAUAACUCAAAUAUUAUUAUCAUUAUUUUGUCUUUAAGACUUUGCAUGCAUUGACAUGUUUCAUAAAUUCCAUGAUUUAUUACAUAUAAUUGUAUUCACAUAUUAUACAAAUAUUCUUGAAAAUGGAUGGAUAUUUGAAUGAAAUGUAUUAUAUUAUAAUUUGUACAAUACGUAUAAAAUUAGGUAAGUAUAGUUAUCGAUCACUAAAAAAAAGAGAGUAGAAUCUCAUUGAUGAACUACCACUUAUUUCGUUUCCGUGAUAAACAACUCAUUGGGGUCCUACUCAUAUGUUGAGUGCCUUAAGAGGAAAAAUGAUAACAUUUUUCAAAUACAAAAAAUUGUUCAUUUACCCUACUCUUUUCAUGUUAUAUAUGUUGGGUUUUGAUAUGGAAAUUUAGUGUGGUAUUGGUUUAUUCCAUUGCCAUUUUGAUGGGUUGGUGAUUGAAAAGAAAAAAAAAGAUGGUGGACCCUAAUGAAAAAUAAAGAAGAAAAUGCUUGGGGGGGCACUAUGUCAAGAAAACAAAGAGAGGAUAUGGUCAUUCACUCUUGUUUGUUUGAGUUAUGUUCCUUAGAAGUUUCCCCUAUGUCAUUUCACACCAUAUUUUCUUUACCUUUUUCUCCCUUCAUUCUCGACUCUUCUGAGUCACAUGAUUUAUCGUUAAAAAUGUUCGGAUAAGACCUUUCCUUAUAAUGAUCUCAAAGUUAAGGACGAAAUGAAAAUCAAACGAUUGAAAAGAUGUUUGUUAAAGGGAAAAAUCGACAAAAUGCAUUCGGGUCAGUGAGCGUGCAAAUAAACACAUAACAGAGACUUCCGAAGAAGAAAAAGGUUGGUUACCUUUCAAAAUGUUUGCUAAAUCCAUAGAUAAAUAAGAUCAAAUUGAAGUUGAUCCAGAACAUUGAUCAAUACUCAUUAAACAGCUUAUGAUGUUAGUUUAUUGGAUUUGAGUUAUCAAGACAAAACUAAUAAUAUAAUCAAUAACAGUUAUUACAAUAAUAAAACUUUAUUAAUAACUGUCAAUAGAUUAUAUUUACACUCUACGAGUUUUAUAACACAAAUGACACGAUGGACAAAAACAUCUUAACAAAGAGAAACAAGAAAAAUGAGAUCAUAUAUGCUUUAACAGGAAAUUACUUCGUAGUCAGAUAGACACAAUGCCUCUCUAUUUGUUCAAAAUCCAUUAAUGGAAAGGUAAAUGCAUUAAAAUUUUCUUUUUCUUAUAGUAAGAAAAGUUGUGUGUGCCUUUAAUUAAUUUGUGUAGCCAUGUUGCCUUUUGUCUUAGUUAGGCGCUACCAACCUUUGUUUGAGAGUACUCUUCACCUAUAGGAUCAUAUAGUUUUCUUAAUUAUUAUAUAUCUCUAUAUAUAUAAUUAAUAUAUGAGACCUAAAGCCCAACCAUUAUAUAUUAAUAAUGAGAUAUUUUUGGUGGAGCUUUUAGCCUAUAAUAAAAGUGAAAUAUAGUAAUUAAUUGAACUAUAUGUAUUUUUUUUUAAUACUAAGAGCAUAUGUUAUUAUAUAGUUGGCUCAAAUAAUUUCUAUUAUUAUAAAGUAUACAUGUGUGUGCGAUAAAUUUUAUAUAUUUUUAGAUCUUAAUGUAAAAUGAUAUGUUCCUUGGGAAUGUGUAGAGAAGUUUGGAGAUUACUCGAUGUUGUGAUUUUUUUUUGUGAAUUUCUAUGUAUGGGAUUUUUUAAAAAUCACUAACCAUAAAGGUAAUGAUUCAAAUCUAUUUUAGAGUUAAAUCAUAUGUGUUUAGCAACAAAAUUUCUAAACUUUUAUUUAUUUAAUUUCUUGAAUUUAAUAAAAUUUUAAACUUUUAAUUUAGUAGCUAUAAAUAUAUAGAAAUCAUGACAGAAUAACAAUUAUAACAUUUAUUUUAGAUAUAAUAUUUAAUUCUAAGAGUCUAUAUUGUCUUAACAUGUUUUUAAAUAUAUAAUUAAGUCAUUUUAAAAAAAAUAGAUAUUUGACAAUAACUUUUUAAAAUAACAUUUUAAAGUUUUAUUUUUUUAAGUCAAUACAAACAUAACAUUAGUAAUAGUUUAAAUAAAAAUUUAUUAUAGAUAAAAUUUAUCACUAAUUUAUUUUAGUGUAUAUAACGUUUUUUUAAAAAUAUUGUUAUAAAUUAGUUAUUGGUCCUAAAAUAAUAAUUUCUAUUAUUAUAAAGUAUACAAACGGUCCUAAUAUUGUUAUAAUUUAGUUUAAAUAAAUUAGACAAAUAAUGUAAAAGUAAAUCAAUGAAAGGUAUAAUUUAACCUUUCUAGCAAUAAAUUACCCAAAAAAAAAAAUAAUAACUUUUCACACUUUUUCCUUCAAAGUUUUACCUUUAUAUGGUUUUAAAUAAAGCAAAGCUAUAGAAAUUAACAAACAAAAUAAAAGAAAAUCAAGUAAUAUCCCUCUCUCUACUUCAAAACAUCACUUUCAAUUUUCAAAUCAAACCCUAACCCUAAUCCAAAAGAGAAAAUUUCACUCAAAAGCAAAAAAAAAAAAAAAAAAAGGGGGAAAAAGGAGAACAAAAUGAAAGCUACUUUUGAAUCAAAAUUGACUUUGAAAUCACUUUUGUUGGGUUUUAACCAUGCUUGUAAUUAUAACUAAUUAAAACCAUUAUUAAUAAUAUAAUUGAAUUAGUAACACCUUCUUUCUUUUUCUUCUUCUUAUUCUUUAAUUAAUUUGGGUGUGAGGAUAAAAAAAAAAUUAAAAUAGGAUUUCAUUUUAAAUAUUAACUAAUUAAGAAUUGCCCCACUAAUUAACUCUUUUUCUAUUUGCUAAAUCUCCAAUUAACUUUAUAGGAUGCUUUUGAUUUGAUCAAGUUAUAUAUGAACAAAAAUUAUGAUUGUGUUCAUUGAAGGAUGAUUACAUUAUUUUGUGGAUGAUAUAUUUUUAUUAUAUUUGGAGUGAAAGCAAAAGAAAAUGGUAUAGUAAAUCAUUAAAAUGAUAAGUAAGAGAAUAUUUUCUUUUGAAUUAGAUUCAAUCUCCUAAUUUAUAUAACAUUUAACUAAAUUUUAGAUUAUAUAAUAUUUAUGAUAAUUUUUUUUUUAUCAUUUUGACCAUUUACUUUUUUUUUUUCUCCUUGAUUUUCAAUAUAUAUCUAAUGACUUGAAAAAGAUGUAAAUAGUUUCUUUUGAUUUUCCAUAAAAGAAUUCACUAUUUCAGGAUAAAAUUAAAAACAAAAUUAUUUUUAAACAUACCAAAAUAAUAUAAUUAUAAAGUAUUUCAAAAUUUCAUAACCUAUCAUUGAUAAAUAUUAAUAAAUCGAUAAUAUAUUAGUAUUUACUAGGUAAACACAUAUAAAUAAUUAUAAAAUUUCGUUGUAGUUACAAAUAUUUUUUAAAGAGAAUUUUAAAAAAUAAUAAAAUUUAAAAAAUAUUUAUAACAUAUAACAAAAUUUCAGAUUCUAAUAAUAAUAAACACUGAUAGACACUGAUAUGCUACUAUAGGUGAUAUUGAUAGAUAAUAACAAAAGUUUAUUAAUUUUUAUAGUAAAUAUUUUAAUUUGUUUUAUUAUUUUUAAUUUUUUUUCUUUUGAUAUAAUUGAUUUUUUAAAAAUAAAUUUACAUUUUUUGAAAACUAAUUUUUUCUUUUAAAACUUUAGUUAAUUUUUUAAGACGUUUACUUAUUAUCUUAAUAUAAAUAUAUAUAUAUAUAUAUAUAUAUAUAUAUAUAUAUAUAUAUAUAUAAAGUUUUCAAACCAUUAAUAAAUUAAAAACCAAAACAACUACUUUUAAUCUUUAUCAUUAAAAUGAUUUCUUAAAAUAGGAAAAAAAUUAUUGAAAUUUAAUUAUUCCAAACCAUUACGUUAAGUCAAUGUAUCUUUACUUUUACUUUGACUUUUGUGUUCAUAGAUAAGGGAGAAAUUUUAUACACAAGAGUAAUUUUAUUUUAUUUUUUCAUAUAUUUACAUUUAAAACUUUAACAAAAUAUAAAUACAACUUCAUUUUAAAAAACAAAUCUAUUGUUUUAUAAAUAAAAAAUGAUGACAAUAAUUUACGUUAAAAUUGACCUCGAAUGAUUGAAUACAUAUGGAUGCAUGGAAAUUUGCUUAUACAAAUACAAAUAAAGUUUUUGAAUUUGAAAAAUAUGGAUUAAAGAAUUAAAAAAAAUAAAGUUUUGAUUCUAAAUUUGAAACUAAAGUUUGAAUUUCAAGAACACAAAAAGGACACAAGUAUUCUAAAAAACAAAUCCAAAGAAUGGCAUUGGGAUAAUCAUAAAAUCAUGAGAAUCCAAUUCCAAUUCCUCUUUUUGUGAGAUUGUGAGAAUUGAGAUUAAGUAAUCAAAAUAAAUUAGAUUUUACUCUUUAUAUAUAGUUUAAUAAUAUCUCAUUUGAUAGUUUUUUUAAUAAAUAUUUAUCAUAAAAACCAUUGGUCAGAGUUGUUGCAAACUUUUUCCAGGAACCAAAUUGUAAAAUAUAUCAGAUAUCACUACAAAAUAGUAAAACACUUCCAAAUAUAACGGUAGGAAUAGAUUGGAGUGAGUAUCGGCUCAGUCGGUUUUCAGACCAAACAUACUACGAUUAACUUUAGUAAAUGUUAAAACUGAUAUUGAUCAUGAAAGAGUGCGUCAAUCAAUCUACCAAUCAAUUAAAUUCGACUUAAACCUUUGAUUUUCUUAAAAAUUAUGCUUUAUGUUUAGAUUUUUCUCAAACAGAUUUAGAUCGAAUCUCCUCUUAUCUUUAAUCGACUACUCUUAGUUUGAUGGAUCGAUUCAUUUCAUCAAUCGUUCAUGAUCCCUCAGCUAAAACUAGCUCAAAGCUAACCAUUGUUUUUAUAGUAAUUUUUGCUUGUAAAAUAAUAAUUUUAGUGUUUAUAUGGAUGGAGAGGAAAAUUCCAAUAUGGAUCAAAAUUAAUCCAAACUCAACUAACAUAGUCGGAGAAUAUCCCAAGUUCAAUUUUCUCACAAAAGAGGGACACAUUUUAGUUUUUCUUUUCUAUAAUUUAAUUAUAUAUCAUUUUUUUUGGCUAAAUUGUAAAUUAUAUUCAAAACUUUUGAAAAUUAUUCUCGAGGAAGAAAUUAGAACUAUUAGGAGGUAAGAUGAGAGCACCACCAAUGUAUGAAUUUUACGUGUUUGAAGUACUAUAACGUUUAUUUUCCAUCUUGAUAUAUGAUUCUCUUCAGGUCAAUUUUGAAAACCAAUACCCAAUGAAUAAUAACAGAUCUGUUUUCCAGUAUAUUCAUUGUUGAUAUUUGAUAAUAUUUAUAAUAAUACUAUUUUACGAUAUAGUUUUGACAAUAAAUUUUUCGCUUGAGUGAUUUAUAGUCGAGUUGACCUGUAGAAGACAUCUCACCAACUCAAUAUUGAUAGGAUUAUAACACAAACUAAUUGCUUAACUCUAUGUCAACUGUAACUUGAGUCGAGCCUCAUACCUGGAUGACAAUGCCAAGUAGUUUGACGGUAAAAACAGUCCGCUAGACUCGACGAUUACCCUAAUGUCUUUCGCGAGGUAAUAUUGUAAAUCUAGAAAAAGAAAAAAGCAAUUUUUAAGAAAUAAAAUUUAUAAUUUAUAAUUUAAUUUUUUGAUGUCUAUUUUUAUUUAAUUUAAUUUUCUCUAACUUCUAUAGUGAUGACUGGCGAAUUGGUACCUUGAAAUUAAAUUAAAUUAAAUUUAUUUUCGUUGGGUGGGGAAAAGGGCAGAAAAUGCCAUACAAGUUAUUCUCUUGAUUCGAGGAGAGAGUUGUGUUCUUCUUCCCAACAUUUUUCAUGGAGUUUCAUUUCAUUGUUGAAAAAGGAGAGAGAUCAGAUUCAGAUCGAUUCUUAUCAUCAACACAACUUUCUUCUCCAUUCAUCACAUUCCUAGCUCAUUCUCAUCUUCUCUUCCACUUUAACUUCAACUACUCACUUUCUCUUCUUACUCAAUAUCAUGCCUCUUCUUCUCUUUCUUUCUAGGUUUUUUUAACUUCUACCUUUAAUUUCUUUCCCUCCUUCUCUUGCAUCACCUCACUUCAUCUUCCAGGUUUCUUUCUCUUUCAAUUCAUGUUUUCCUUUGUUUCAUUGCUCAAACUGAACUGAGCUUUGUUUUGAAAUUGUAAUUGUAGGAGCUUGUUUGUUAUUUACUUUUUUUUUUUUUUUAAUGAAGAUGAUGAUCGGAGGAUGUUACUUGUUUUAUGUGUUUGUAAUGUGCUUUCAUUUUCUUCUUCACUUUCUAAUUUUGCUAUGUUUGGCAGUUUUCUUCCUCCAGAUCUAUGGUUCACUUUGCUGUUUUGAUUUAUGUUUCUGGCUUUAAAUCUGGAUUUCCUGUUGCCAUGUGCUUGUACUUGAUGAAAAUAGGGGUUUGUUGUUGUUGUUGUUUUUGGAGGUUAGGGAUGGGGUUUCGGGGCAAAUGCAUCUCGAUCUUAACUUGGAAAAUGCCUUAUGUUGUCUCUGGAAGACUUGUUUGUUUGGGUUUUUGUGAAUUCUAACAGAUUUUUUUUUUGUUAAUUCAUGAAUCUGACCUUUCCUGAAGCUUCUGUGUACUUAUUUUGCUUUCGGACCUGCACAAGCCUGCUAAAAUGAGCUUCAGCUUAUAAUGAUUUUGCUUUAAGAGAUAUACUUCUACAUUACUUCAAGGAUUUUCGAUGGAAGUUUUUGUAUAGAAUGCCGUUGGAGUAUGAAACUAUUGCCUUUCCUUCCCUUUUUUCCUUUUUUCUUUUCAACUCAUUCUUUUUACUUCUUUCUCUUUUUCACAUUUACUUUCAUCAAUUUCGUCCGUUACAGAUGUUUCAAAUCGGAGCUUCUUUAUUAUAGUUAAGAUUUCAAAGUUAUAUGAGUUGUCUUAUCUGAUUUAAUUUCUAGUGUUCACAAUUUUAAGCUUUGAUUAAUUGAUGCCAGGCUUAUAGUUAUGGUCUUGAAUGCAACAUACCGAAUGCGUGUUUCUAAAGAAAGAAGUUGUGGCUGCAGAUACACCAGAAAGUUUGCUGAAGAGUAGUUUCUAAUGUCUUGUGGAAGCUAGGAAACAUUUUUCGGCAGAAAAGAGCUUGUUCACAUACCAUGUUCUGAAUUCAUCCAACCACCUCGAUUCCUAGUGCUCGUCUUCCAGAUCAUAAAGCAUCUCACCAUGCUCAAGCAAAUACUGAGCAAACUUCCUAAGAAGUUGCAGAAAUCGGAUACGGUGGAUUCUGCAACAAAUGAGUCUGGCAACAAUACUUCUCGUCUGGGACAUGUAUUCCAGUGUACAAAUGUAGGGAGCGCCUUCUCGAGUAAAUUAAAUGUUGUGAAGCGUGUUUCAUCAGCGGUUUUCCCUGCAAGUAUUGCAGCAGAAGCAGUGGAUCCCCACUUGUCAUUCAAAGAUGUUCCGAAUCCGCAGAAGCAGAACUUGUUUGUCAGUAAAUUGAACUAUUGCUGUGAGGUUUUUGAUUUGAAUGAUAUGGAGAAACAGGAUCUUAAACGUCAAAUGUUGAUAGAUGUUGUUGAUUUUGUUACAUCUGGAUCUGCAAAGUUCACUGAGACAGCAAUUUCAUCAGUAUGUAAGUUGUGUGCUGCUAAUCUUUUUCGCGUGUUCCCACCCAAAUCACGUUCAACUUCAACUGGUGGAGAAACAGAGGAUGAAGAACCAAUAUUUGACCCAGCUUGGUCACAUUUGCAAAAUGUAUAUGAUCUACUGCUUCAUUUUGUCAGUAGCAACUCCCUAGAUGCAAAAGUGGCCAAAAAAUAUCUUGAUCAUUCUUUCAUCCUGAGAUUGCUCGACCUCUUUGAUUCCGAUGACCCAAGAGAAAGAGAUUGCUUGAAAACAAUCCUUCACCGUGUCUACGGAAAGUUCAUGAUACACAGGCCUUUCAUCAGGAAGGCUAUUAGCAAUGUCAUGUAUCGUUUUGUUUUCGAGACGGAGCGGCAUAAUGGAAUUGCAGAGCUGUUGGAGAUUUUUGGUAGCGUGAUUACCGGGUUUGCAUUGCCAUUGAAGGAGGAACACAAGACAUUUUUAUGGAGAGUUCUAAUUCCUCUUCACAAACCAAAAUCAGUCGGAAUUUAUCAUCAGCAGUUAACAUAUUGUAUUGUACAGUUUAUAGAUAAGGAUCCUAAGUUGGCCAGUACAGUUAUAAAGGGACUUUUAAGAUAUUGGCCUUUAACAAAUAGCCAGAAAGAGCUGAUGUUUUUAAGUGAAACAGAAGAGAUUUUGGAAAUGAUCAGCAUGGUUGAGUUCCAGAAGAUCAUGGUCCCUCUCUUUCGUCGAAUCGGAUAUUGCUUGAAUAGCUCUCAUUACCAGGUAUGAUUAUUGCUUCCUAGAUUUUAAGGGUCUGAUUUAGAUUGCUGUUUUCUUUUAUUUAACUGCAUUUCACUAGAUUUUGGUUUUUCUUGUGUUAUUGUAUAUGCAUAUUUUACAAGCAUGGAACGGCUUCAAAUGGAUUUAUUCCUUGAUAAAUAUGAAGAAUUAGGAUUCGUUCCAAGUCCCUAAACCUAGUCUAUGUUGAUUUGAUUCGACUCCAAUGUGUUUUUGAGUGUUUAGUUGAUUUUUGGUUGGUACAUUUGUUUACUUUUCCAAUUCUCUUAGGUGGCAGAGAAAGCUCACUUGCUUUGGAACAACGAACACAUCAUCAAUCUUAUCGCUCACAACCGGCAAGCGAUCAUACCGAUUAUCAUCCCAGCUCUUGAACGAAAUACACAAAAGCAUUGGAACAAUGCCGUACUAAAUCUAACUUUAAAUGUGAAGAAGUUGGUUCACGAGAUGGACGAGGAACUCGUGCUUGCUUGCCAGGUUGACUUGAAGGAGGAACAGUCGAAGUUGGUUGCAGCGGCAGAGAAGAGGAGAUUGACAUGGGAGCGGCUCGAGAAUGCUGCAAGACCACAGCCAAUAUCUCCUAACAUUUCAUUUCUGGUAGAACCAGCAACUUGUGCAGUUGCUGGCUAAGCCACUCAGAAUCGGAAGAUCUGAGUCAACAAAACAACGGUAUCAUCAUUACUUUUGCAGUAGUACACCCGGAUCAUCUAGUUCUUUGAUUCAACUGCACAAAAAGCGUCUCAUCCGUCUCAUCGAGAUUGCGACGAACAAGUUACAGACGAUGGAUAUGAUCAGGUCCUGAUGAAACUUUCUGUACAGGUGUGUGGGUAAAAAGCAGGAGCAGCCUAUUUGGUUGUUAUUGCCAUAAAUUUGAGGAAAUCUGUAUCCUUGAUCAAACAGUGUGUUUCUUCACUGUUUUUUUCUUUCUUUUUUCUUUUUCCUUUUUCCAUAUCUCAUUCAUGAUGGGAUUUUGUGCUUUUGAGUUCCAAUGGCACUGGCAGCGUAUUGAUGAAGCCUUCAGCUAUGAGCUUGUUUGUUCUUCUGAAAAUUCAAUGUCUUUCUUCUCUUGAAUUCCAAACAGGAUGGUGAAUCAUCCUCAUUUCUUUGAGAUGGUGAUGGAGCCCGAGAAUGCAUUUUUCUGUCCUUUGCCUUUUAACCCUCUUUUUUUAUCUCCAAAAUUAUAUAAUAAAAUGUACAUUUUGCUCUCUCUAUAUGUAUUGGCGGAGGGCGGAGGGCGGAGGGCAGAGGUUUGAAUCAACCUUAGCAAUGUAAGUGAUAUUUCUUGUUGGAAAAAAUACCUUUUUUUUCGGGUUUAGUUUCUGUUUGAUUCUUGCACAUUUAUGUCUUAUUUGGUAACCACCUUGUUUUUAUUUCUUAUUUUUUCCAGAUUUCUUAAAAUUCUAAAAAUAAGUUAAAAGAUAAGUCUUUUAGUUUUUAAAUUUUCGCUUGAUUUUUAAACCAUUGGUAAAAGAAAGGAAGAAGGAGUGUUGAUAGUUUUAAUUCUAAAAAGAUAAAAACGAAAAUCAAAAUGGAUACUAAAAGGACUUUUUAGGUUUGGAGUUUGGUUUUAAUUUAGUUUUUAAGUCUUUAAACAAUUUUGUUAUAUUUUAUAAAUGGUAUUAAAAUUGUAGCCAUACAAUGAGAGGUUUGAAGUAAGAGUUAGAGGUGUGGGUGUAUAUGUAUGAUAUCUAAGAACUAAGAAGAAAGAAAAGGGUGUGAUUGUGAGAGCAAGGGAAGUAGGGUAGUCCAUGAAACAGAGGAUAAUGGAAAAGAAAAAGGAGGCAAUUUCUGAGGUGUUAUCUGCCAUUUGAAGCUCAGUCCCCUUUUUCCCAAAGGGGACAAUUUGAUUGUACAAUUAUUGCUUUCUUCUCCUUCACCAUUUCUCCCACAUUUUCCUUCUCCACACUUUCUCAUUUCUUUCAAAAUUUAUUUUUAAUUUUCAUAUCCUUACACGAUUUCAAUCUUUUUCAAAACAUAGUUUUGAAACGAUUUUAAAGGGUGCUUUUGAUUCUUAAAAUUCAUGGAUCUAAUAGUACAAUUUAAUUUUAUAUUUACUAAAUUCUUUUGGGUUUAAAUUUUUAAUUUUUUUUUGAAUUUAUUAAAUAAAGUUGAAAAUGCAAAAACUUGUUUAAGACACACUCUCAAAAGCUUACUAAUCAAAUAGAUGUAACCAUCAAAGUUCAGUGAAAAAUCUAAUUAAAAUUGGUGGUUGACAAUGUGUAUCAAUUUGCAUUCGUCCCAUUUAAAAACAUUCUAACUAUGAUAUAUAAUAACUCAUUUAGAUGAGUGGUAUAGUGCUUUUGUAAUCAAGAUCAAAAAAGAGAAAUUUUCUAAUGUGAUUAAACCUCUUGUUUUUUCAAGGCCAUAGUGAAUUUUGUUCGAAUUUUGAAAUUUUACUCACCAUGAAGCAAUUUUAUAAAAUUGUCUUGAUUUCUUCUCGUUCAUGUGCGACCAACUUUAAGACUAUGCACCAACUCGGCAGUUGCACACGAGCAACUCCAAAUUGUAAAUAUUGAUCUAAAUAUCAAUAUUUGGAAUAUGAAAUUUUGGUAUAUUUGUAAUUGUUUUAAAGUAUUGCUACGUAGUAAUAUAAUUAAAAAUUAAAAUUGAGAAGCAAUCACGUGUUUACUUAGAGGGAGAGAGAGAGAGAAAAAGGCGAAACCAGAGGGUUUUAGGUUUCUUCUUCGCUCAUAGUAAUUGCCCAACGACUUCCAUUCAAUCCUUUUCCACACUCUAAACUUUCCAUCGCCAAACCUAAACAGAGAUUCCCAAUUUCGGAACUGAAAGAAAGAAGGGAUGUACCACGUUCUUCCACCGCAAGAACAGCAUUUCUCUUACAUUACGUACGAUGUCCAAAGACGCCAAUCAAGAUAAAGGCUGUGUCUCUUCGCUCUGUAAGAACGACGAUCUCUUUAAUUUCUUCCAUUCUUCCAUUUUUCUAAUUUUUCUAAUCGAUUUGAAUAAUUUUAUCAGUUUAUUCGCUGUGUGUUGCUGUUUUUGCUGAUUCGAAUUAAACUUGCGUGUGUUGCUUGAAGUGUGUUUGUUGUUGCUGCGAUUGAGUUAUAUAGUGUAUUCCAUCUUCGAUUCAAUAAUCAUCUAAAUUUCUAUCUUUCGGUGUUUUGUUAGAAAAUUUAUAUAAAAAAAAAAGAGAAAGAGGAGAAUUAGGCUUUGGAGAGAUAUUGGAUGUAAUUUGUUCUGAGUUCUUGUUUUUUUUUCUUCUUCAAUUUCUUUGAUUUAAUAAAAAAGAGUCUGGGUUGUAUAUUUGUAUUCUUACCAUGUUCCAAUUUAUUUUUCAAAUUAGAGAUAAGAACAAGGUAUUUAGCAACAUUUAAAAAGAAGUUAUUAAUAUAGAAAAGUUUACCGAUAUCUCUCCAAAAAAAUUUGUAUAGAAGACACUAUACGCUAUAUAAUAAACACACUUCAACAGAUAUCUGAAUGCUUUCGAGUAACAGUCACUAUAUUUAUAGUAUUUGUAGCAAUAAAUUUUCACAUUAUAUUUUGUAAUAUAAAUGUAAAUUUUAAAAUUACAUAAAAAACUUUUUCAUGAAAUAUUGGUGAGAGAAUGGAAAUUUAGAUAUCAACUUUGUUGCAUUAUUUUCUACAGAAGUUGAACUCUUAAGAUGAUGGUAAAGUUUAGUUAAAAUAAAAUAUUAUUUAAUGUAUAUUGUAAUAUGACAAUUAAAAAUUAAUAUUAAAAUAUAAAAAUCAAUAAUGUGAGGGAGUCAGUAUUCGACCCCUUAUUAAAUCCACCUUUGCCGACACUUAUAGACCACAAUGACCAAUAUUUACGAGAUGGUCUAGGUCUAGGUCUAAUUAAUCUAUCACUAACAAACGUUUAUAUAUGCAAUUUUUAAAUAAUAUUACUAUACGUGCUAAUACUAUCCCAAAUCUUUGUUAUUAAAUUGUUAUUAUAACAUUUUUUUUUGGAUUUGAUGUGUUAGAUUUUUAUUCAAUUUAUUAUUAUUAUUAUUAUAUCUCUUUUAAAACGUCGGGAAACAUCUUUAGAAAAAAGCACAAGUUGGAAAACAUCGAUCAAUUUAUACUUAUAAACUUUAAAAGUUCUAUCACUCUUGCGAGUAUAUUAUUUUAGACCAUUUACUACAUUUUAUUUAAAAUAACUAUGAUAAACUUAAAAGUUUAUUAGUUAAACUUUAAAGUCUCCUAAAUCAAUCAAUUUAGACUUUUAGGUAUAUUUAUUCUUGUCUACUCUCGUAAUUGAUUCAAAAUUUAAUGGAUAAAAGAUUUAUAUUGACAAUGAAAAUAAGUAGUUUUUAAGUUAUAAUGGAUAAAAGAUUUAUAUUGAUAAUGAAAAUAAGUAGUUUUUAAGUUAUAGCUUCUUCUUCUUUUUUACAUUUUUUAUCAUCUAAAUAUAUAUGUUGGUGAGAGUCUAUCAACUUAUCAAUGUUUAUCCAUGAUAAAAAUUGAUACGAGUAUAUUCUAUCAACAUCGAUGUCUAUUAGUGAUAAAGGCUUAUUGUUUAUAUGUAUGUAACACCCUAAAUGUAGGGGAAGAUAUGAAUGAACUGAUAUCACAUUUAAUUAAAAGAGAUCCUGAGAAUUUAAUUAAAAGAGAUCCUGAGAACAUGAGAGUAAAGUUAAGAAAGACUUAAAAUAGUUCAAAGUUACUACAUAUUUUAACAAAGUGCACUUUCUUUUUUAAUAGCUCGAUCAUAUAAACUUUGUUGGACCUGAGCAUUACAAUUGAUCACUACUUUUUUUACCAUUUAUAUGAAUAGUUUGACAUUUUUUCUAUACGUGAAAAUUAAUCUCUUUUAAUUUGUAAUAUACAUUGCACCUUGUUUUUAUUUUACACUUUAACUAUUUAUUUGCAACUUUGACUGCACCCUUUUUGUUUAAGAAAACAUUAAAGAAAAUAGGUUUUAUGAAUGUGUUUAAUUUUUUGAAUUACUCAAUCUAUAUAUUUAACAGAAGUAACCAUUUAUGUAAUUUAAAAUUUAUCACAAAUUUAAUUUAAUUCCUCGAAUCUUCAAAUUCAAUUGGUGUUUUGUAUUAUUUUGAUCGAUUAACUUUCAAUAUUUGUUGAGAAUUGUCCUACAUUAAUAAUACUCAAUUUAUUGGCAUGUCUAAGCUCGAGAGAAAUCAAGAGGUGUGACAUGGAAAAAUGUACUACAAAAGGGAAAACUUAAAGUUUUCAUCCCUAGUUGGUAAUAAUAGCACCAAUAAGAAAAUAUAUUUGAAAUGUACUCAGUUUCAUUCUCGCAUCAUAAACUACCAUGACAUUCGUCAAAGUUACACCUAAUCACAAUCAAUUGUAAGAGGAAGGAUAUUCUUAAUUAGCCUCGUUUAUUUAAUGACCUUCCAGAAGAACAAAAAAAGCAAGUAAAUCCUAAUAAAUGAGAACUCUAACCUUACUUUUGUGUGCUUAGUUGAACUAACUACACUCUAAAUACCGAUUUAGACAUUAAAUUUACCUGACAAGAAUCUUUCACACGUGUUGAAUGAAAUAGCAAAAUCGAAUUAGAAGAAGUGAGCUGGCCAAAGGUUAAACCCACGAAGACGUCAUCGUGACAACGUGUGCAUGAAAAUCCACACACCAACCAUAUCUAUUUUUUUAAGCUACCUGAAUACACAUCUAAUUCAACUACUACUAUAUAAAGUUCUUUCAACCAAUUUUUGGUGCUAAAUAAAGAAGAUGUAGAUAUUAUGAACAAACUUAUAGGUAGCCAAAUGCUUUUUAAUGAAGGUAGCUGAAAAGCAUUAACAGAAUAUAUAUGACUAUGAGACAUUUCAAUUUUUGGUAGAUAUAUAUUUCCCAAUUACAUAAUUCAAAGUGGCAAACUUUUGUCAAACUUUAGGUUAAAAUUGCAAUUAAAAAUGAGUAAUUAAUUUUGGGCAGGUCAAUUAUAACCUAACCAAUUAUAGAUAGAUUGUGUCCUUUUUCAAUAUAUGGAGAUUGUUAAAGUGUGUUUCCUUCAAACACAAACCUCUUUUUUAUUAUAUUUGACAAUUCACGAUUCACAUUUCGACUAAUUUCACGAGAUGACUUAUCUGAUCUUACAACAUAAUAUUUGGGUGUAAAGAAAAUUUGUAGAAAUUAAUUGUUAGAUUGAUGACCACCGUUGAUUGAACUUGUGACUUCUCAGUUAUUUUUUAUGGUCAAUAUAAGGAUUCACGUUUAAAUUUUGAUGUGUUUGAGAUUGAUUUUGUAGAUAUCAUCGUUACUACAAAUUUGGCUUAUAGUUAAAAUUAAUCAUUUGUAUUCCAAAAUUUUGAAUUCUAUCAACGAUAGUCAGGAUAAAAUUUGUUAUAAGUGGUAAAUAUUCUUUAAAAUUUAUUAUUUUUAAAAAUUUAUCUAAAUUAAUUAACUUAAUAUUUAAUUUUAAAAUGUAAUUUUCAUAUAAUCAAAUCCAACCCUUAAUAAUUAAAAUAAUUUUAAAAUUUGACCAAAGUGACUUAACAAGUCAAAAAUCACUUCCAAGUUUACAAAAUAAUCUAAAGUUUUUUUUCUAAAGUAUAUGACUAAAUUUUGCAAAUUUGAAAAUGAAAAUGAGAAAAACUAAAUAUUGGGUAUAUUUUAUUUAACCCAAAAAUCAAAUGUAUGGUUUCUAUUUUUUUUUUUUGAAAAAGGAGAAUUAAAAUUAAAAAUUGAAGAGAUCUCAACCAACCCUUUUAAGUCAAAGGUCAUCAUAAUGAAGUGCCCAAAAAUUAGAUGGGUGCCAACAUUUUUGGACCUUUUUGUUCUUCUUUAUAAAAAAUAUUGAUAAGUUUUGGAAGCACUUUUCAGAGAGCCAUUCAAUUUUGGGCAUAAAAGUCCUUUUCCUCACGUAUAUUUCGAAAUUUGUUCAAUUUUAGUUUUGUACGACCAUUUUUAAAUUUAACCCAUAUUGUUUGUCUAUUGUUGACUUUUUAAAAAACUCAUGGGUUACUUAUUAUCAUUUUCACUCUAAAUAUUAAAAAGAUAUAUUCAUAUAUUUUUUAUUUUUAUUAAAAUUAAAAAAAAUUAUUUUAAACAACAAAACUAUUGAAAAUAUUUACAAAUAUACUACACUAUCACCGUUGAUUGUAAUAACUACUGUAUGUGUUUAUAUGUGUCAUGAUAGCUAUUAAACAUAAUAUUUUAAUGUAUUUGAAAACAAAUCAUCAAAGUAAUACAAUAAUUAUAAUUAUCUUAGAAUGAGCUAAAAUAGUAUUCCAAUGCAUUUUCAAAUAUAGUAAAAUUUUAAAUUCUAUCGAUAAUAGACAUUAAUAAAAGUCCAUCAAUAUGAAAUAUAUAUUUUAGGAAUAGUUUGGAUGUUAGAUUUUGUUAAAUUUUGUUUAAAGUCGUACCAUAUUUAUUGUGGCACUAAUAUUCUCACCUACAAACCAAACAUGGUUUGGAAAGAAAUAAUACUCCAAAAGAGAGAAAUGGUAGAGAUUUUGUGCAUAUAAAAUACAAACAAACACAUCCCCAUCUCUCAAACCCUCUAACCACUAAAUAUAAAUUAUAAACUUCCUCCUCACCCACUUUUCCUUUUCUUUUUCCCUCACAAACCUUCCAACAUAUUAAUUAUAUUGAUAGCCACCACUUUUUCUUUCUUUCUUUCAUUAUUCAAUAUAUUAUUAUUAUUAUCAUAAUCUCACUUCAUAUACUUCGAACAUUCAAUAUUAGUAUCUUUUUUAAUAAUCAAAUUUAGAUUAAUACUUUCAUGUCCCUUUCUUUUAUAUAUGGAAUUAAUGCACUUUUUGUUCUUAUGAACAUAGUCAAAUAUUUAAUCAUCACAUUGCAUUGAGUUUUUUUUCCCAUAAAAUUGCUCUAGUGGGCAUGAUUAGGAGACUAUAUAAUAUUUUUUUCUUCUAAACUUUAGAUAUGGUUACGAAGACCUAAUAAAUAAAUUAAAGAAAAAAUGUUUAAAGCGUGAAAUCAUUUAAAAUAUUUAUAAAUAUAUAGUAGAAUUAUGUUAUAUUUGUAACUAGUUUUUCUUUUAACUGUAUAAUAUUUAUAUCUAUAAAUGAUAUGAUUUCAAACGAUGUUUAGAAUUUGACAAUAUAUAAGACUUUGAAAUACUUAAAUAAUUCAACUCUACUAAUUUCAAUAAUUUUAUUAUUCAAAUUUGCAUAUGUAUUAAACACUUUCACAACAUGCACUCUAAAUACGAAUUUUCUAACUUCAAUCUAAUAAAUUCAGAUUGCAUAAUUCUAACUCAUCGCUCGAAAAACUUCCUUAGGAUAAAAUAAAAUUCGAAUGACGAAACAUAGUCAAAUUUUGUAUUUUUUUUUAAUCUUUUCUUAAUUUGAUGAUUAAAACAAAAUAACCAAAAGGAAAAAAAAAGAAAAGAAAAGAAAGAAAUAAUUAGAUGUACCAAAAGGGAGUGAAGGCCAUGUGGGUUUGAUCCUACACAUUAAAUGAUGGGCAUGAAUUAUGUUCCCUACUCAAUUUUACCUCUUAUUCACUAUUAGCUGUAUGUUGACUCUCAUUAUAUACAUUUAUACUUUAUAAAGAUUUCUUUUUUGUCACACUAUAUUUCAUUAGAACUAUACUAUAUAUCAUUUAUUAUGCCAACCAUUAUUCUAAUUUAACGACCAUUUAUUGUUAUUAUUAUUACUAAUCUCAACUAACUCAACAAAUUAACACCAUUCUUAUUCAUUUUCUUAUAAUAGAAGCUCAAAUCUUAUCUUUCAAUCUAUGUUGUAUGUUUAAGAAAAGAUAAAUAGUUAAAAAUAGAACAAAAAAAAAAAAAAAACGAUUUAAAUGAGUUAUGGAGAGCUGGAUGCAUUUUAUGUAUUUAAGAAUGAAUUUACUGUGUUUCUUCUUAGGGUAUGUAAAUCUAUAAAAAAAAAAAAUGGAAGAAUUACAAAGUUAGUGGAUACUAAAUUAAUUACGAUGUUAAAUCAAUGAUUCCUUUGACUAUAUUUUUUUCUUUGAGUAAGAUAAAGGAUCGAGUAUAUUGUAUAUCAAUGGAGCGCGCGAUGGUCGAUUUUUUACAAAUAUUAGGUUAAUGUGUGGUUAAAAAAUUAAUUUUUAUCGAUGUUGCAGUGAAGAUUGCUAUAAAGUCAUAUUAUUGAAUACGCUAUAACAAAUGAGUGCAUGUCAAUUAUCGUUGAGUGGAUUUAUUGACGUUGUUUGUGUUUGAUAGUAUUAAUUUUUUUUCGUUUAUUUGUUUUCUAAAAAAUCUUGUAGUUGAGUAAAACUUCUUUUUCGGAAGGUAUUUGUAUAUGUAUUAUCCAAUCUUUCCUCUUAAGUUUUAUCUCUUAGAGACGUGAAAAAAGUGAGUAAUGUAUAUCUUUCAAAGAAUAAGAAUUAAAGAGCAAAAAUAAUCAACAUAUACUUAUAGCUUUAGAAAAAUAAAAGAAUAUUAAUACGAUCUUAAAUACGUAUUAAUUUUCUCGUGAGAAGUUUAGAAACAAAAAUUAAGAUACAUCGAAAAAAACACUUCAAGUUUCUCAUAAGUUCCUUAACAUAAGAAAAUCACACAUUUCAUUUUUUUUUUCUUUAAUACAAUAACUAUGAUGUAUGAGAAUUUAAAGUAUUGACCUUAAGGAGAAAACGUACGAUCGAUCUUAAUCUCAAAAUGAAGACCGACCUAGUUUCAUACUUACAGAACCUUAGGCAAAGUAGAAAGAAUAUAUAAAAUUAAAAAGAAAUCUUACAUUUUCAUUUCUUGAACACUUAAUUUUCUCGACUAAAUCAUUUAUACGUUCUUAAAAGGAGACAACUACUUUCACGUUGUUGAUGUUUGUUAGAGAAAUUAUCAAACAAUCAUUGAGAGAUAUAUAAAUUCAAAAUGAUGAUUAAUUUAGGAGCUAAGCAACAACUACGAGAUUCAAUCAUUUUUUUCUUUCAUAGAGCACAAACACUUAGUCUAUCUAAAAUUCAACAACAUAUUUGUGGCGAUAAAAGAUUGAAUCUUCCACCUUUAGAAUGAAAUAUCAUACCAAAGACGAAAACAUAAUUCAUCAAUCAAUAUUCGAUAUAAAAUAUUAUUUAAUGAAAUUUAAAACAAAACCAUACAAAUGCAAAAAACACAAAGAGACUAUAACAAUUGAUAUAACUUAAUUCCAAGAAUGACCAUGAUAGACCAAAAAACCGAGCCAACUGACCGAAUAAAAGUCGGCUGGUGUUGAUUUAGGAAAUGACAAUAAAAAAAUUCUAAAGAGUGAAACAAAUCGACCAAUCAAAAUUGACUUUUUACUCUCUAAUAAUCAAAGUCGAUCCGAACAUUAACUUUGAUGGACCAAUCAACGAGCAUCCCUAAUUAAUUAAACACUCUAACUUUAACAAGAAGAAAGCACCAAAAAAUAGAGUGGUUAGUUACUAUUACAAAGUAGAUUGUCAAAAAAUUGGGUCACCCUUUGCUUGGUUAAAAGCCAAACCCACUUUUUACUUUUCCAAAUUUCUACUUUUUCCAAAUUUUCACUAAGCAACAAAAAGUUAGACAUUUACCCGCCCUUUCUACCAGGGGGUAUAACGGUAACUUCACAGUUUCCCAACCGUUUUAAUCAAAAGAUUUGCCAAUUGCGCACCAUCAUUCAGUCCCACGCGCGCCCAUUCUAGUGUGCUUAAUAAGGUCCCUAACGUCAUUUCACUAUUUAAUGAACUUUGUCUCCAUAUGCCUUAGGUUUUGGGACAUUUUGAAAAAUAAUCCUCAAAUGCCUUUCAUUUUUCUUAACUAAUUCAAUCGUAUAGUUUUCACAUUCUUAUCUAUUUAGUCGAGAUUGAUCAUCGAGAGUUUAAUUAAAAAAUUAUCGUGUAUUAGAUUUUUUUUGAAGAAAUUUUGCGAAGAAUGUUGAGAUGUUACACAUUUUUUCUCUCUUAAUGAUCAUUAUACAAAAAUCUUACAUCUAUUCAAAUUUUCUCGAAGUUUUGUUAUGUUUAUUAGUACGUAAUCUUUCAAAUAUAAUGUCAAUCCAUGCUUCUACAAUUAUACAAAAUCCUGAAUGGAUUUAGAUUCUUUUCAAAUAGACGAUUGUAGGAUGAUUUUUAAGUUUUGAAAAUGUUUGAUUUCGAGAAAAGUUGAAUAGGAUUUGUGAAAAAUCUUCAUUAUGACUGGGAUUCUUCAAGAAAGUUGUCGAGAAUCAUUAGUUUGGAUUCUAUCACUGUCUAUCAAUAUUACACAUUUGAGUAUCUAUCCAUCAAAGUUAAAAUUCCAAUUUUGUUUACAAAGAAGUGGUCCCCAGUAGCGUUAAUACACCCACGGGAGCGAGUAGGAAUGCAUUUCAAUACGCGCGAGAGUGGGGUGGGGUUAUAUUGAUGUCUGUUCUCUUUUUUAUCCUUCCCGCGGCCAUUAAAUGAGCCUCCUCAUAACUCACUCACACUGCUCUCUUCCUCUCUGCUGCUUUGAGGUUAGAGAGAAAAGAGUUCAACAAACAACGACUUAAAGAAAGAGUAGAAGAAGAAGCCAUUAAUGCAGAGCUCAACUACCCAUUUCUAGGGCAAUAUUUUUCCUUCACUCGCAAACACACACACACACACACAGAUAAUAAACCAUUUCUUCCUAGAUUCACCAAUGCUUCUCUCAUUCUUUGCUUGAUUCAUUUCCAUUCUCUGUUUGGAGCUUUAUUAUAGAUCUUCCUCCACCAUGUGGAACACGGCGGAUAAUGUGUUUGUUCGAACCGCCUCGUUUAGAGAAGACGGAGAAGAUGAAGAGGCCUUACGUUGGGCAGCGCUUGAGAGGUUGCCUACGUAUUCGCGUGUUCGUAGAGGUAUUUUCAAGAAUAUUGUUGGAGAUACUAAGGAGAUUGAUGUUAGUGAACUUGAGGUUCAAGAACAAAAGCUUCUUAUUGAUCGAUUGGUCAGUUCGGUUGAUGAUGAUCCCGAGAUGUUUUUUCAACGAGUGCGACGCCGUUUUGAUGCGUAAUUCUUCUAAUUUUGUUUCAUUGCUUGUUUAUGAUUUUUUGAUGUGGUUUAUUUACUGCUCUUGUGUGUGUGUGUUCGGAGAAAACAAAAUGAAAGGAUAAUGGUGAGAUUCUUUUGGAUUAUUUCUCUGCUUUGCUUUUUAUUAUUAACUAAUAAGUCAAAUGUGCUGUGAUUAUUGCUUCAUAGAGCUGUUUGAAAUUUUUGAUCGUGUCAAUUUGAGAGACGUUUAUCUUACUGUCACUAAUAAUGCUAGCUAAUUCUUGUUCCUGCUCAAUUUUGUUUUGUCAUUGGCUUGUGAAUUUGUAAUUUUCAUUAUUAAGCUACUUUCUUCUUAUUAACUUAUGCGUGAAAUGUGCUGUGAUUAUUGGUUAGAAUGUCGUUUUGUUGCAUCAUGGAGCUGUUUUUCACUAAUUACUACCGUUUUGAAGUUUGUGAUCGUGUCAAUUUGAGAGCCGUUAAUCCUAUAGUUAUUCUUACUAAAAUGCUUGCUAAUUUCUUUUCCUGCUGAAUUUUGCUUUUUGAUUGGUUUGUGAAUUUGUAACUUUCAUGAUUAAGGUACUACUGCGAUCAUACAAUUGCUUUACGUUCUUUAAUUUUUUUUUUUUUGUCGCAGAGUUGAUUUAGAGUUCCCUAAGAUUGAGGUUAGGUUUCAACAGUUGACUGUAGAAUCGUUUGUUCACAUUGGAACCAGAGCUCUGCCGACUAUUCCCAACUUCAUGUGCAAUAUGAUGGAGGUAGCGUAGUAUUUACUCUGUAUCUAUAAAAUGAUUAGUACGAAUUUUUUUUUUUUUUUUGUUAAUCAACUAUGGAAAAGUGUUUUCUUCAUUUGUUCUUCUUAUGGUUACUAGAUGUUUGUAUACAUUGUGCCAGGCACUUCUUAGGAAACUAAAAAUAUACAGCAGUCAGAGAAGCAAGUUGACAAUUUUAGACAAUGUCAAUGGAAUUAUAAGACCUUCCAGGUAAACUUUCUAGUUCUAACAAAAGUAGAAGUUGAAUCUUUGAUUAUGUUCCGAAUUUCGAAUUUUACACUAUCCUGAGCUCUUUUGUAGAUUAACUUUGUUAUUGGGUCCCCCGAGCUCUGGAAAGACAACUCUUCUUCUAGCCCUUGCUGGUCGCCUUGGAAGUGAUUUGCAGGUACUGAACAAUUGAAACUUUGCCCUUCACUGCAGAAACGUUGUUGAUAUUAACUAUCUGUUUUUAAUUCUUUGGUCAGCAAUCGGGGAGAAUAACAUAUAAUGGGCAUGGGUUCAAUGAGUUUGUUCCGCAGAGGACAGCAGCUUAUGUUAGUCAACAGGACCGACAUAUUGCAGAAAUAACUGUCAGAGAAACUCUCGAUUUUGCAGGCCGCUGUCAAGGCGUGGGGUUCAAAUAUGGUAAGCUAUGAAAAAUCUUGCAGUUUGACAGCUAAUACUUCUCUUAAUACUUAUUUGAAUGGUGAAGAUAUGCUCAUGGAACUAGCAAGAAGGGAAAAGAUUGCAGGGAUAAAACCUGAUGAAGAUCUCGAUAUAUUUAUGAAGGUAUGUGAUACUUCAUGUAUAAUUUUUCUUUAAUGUUCUUUUGUUACCAUCUGUUUUAUUGAAUUGAUAUGAAUUUGAUUGGUUGUAAUUGCUGCAAUUUUCUCUUUAGUCAUUGGCUCUAGGGGGUCAAGAGACAAGUCUUGUGGUGGAGUACAUCAUGAAGGUACAUUCAAUUUACUUUUCCCCCCUUGAUAUUUAUUGAACUGCUAAUAGAAGUUGCAACCUUGGUCCUUUUAGAUUUCACGUAUAUUUAUGGAUUAUUUGGCAACAUGUAAGAUAUGAUUAUUGAACUUCCAUUAUCCUCAAUCUCAACAAGUUGCUUUACUCUCCAUAAUCUUUAGCUUGGCGUAGAAGAUGCAAUCAACAUUUUGGUCGGUCUCACUCUCCAUAAUUUUUGGUUAUGAAGUUUUAUUUCUGGAAAAGCUGGUAACUCUGUUUAGUGUUUGACAGGAGAUUUUCAUUAAUUAGUUAUAUUAUAGAACCUUAAUAAUUCAACGUAAAAUUUUGAAAAGCGUACAGGUUUUUUAAGAAUUAUAUCAUUGUGCGUUCUUUCUAUGCAAUAUUUUGACGUCAUCCACACCUGAAGUAUUGAUAUCUGCGAAGAUUUUAGGGUUGGACGUGUGUGCUGACACAUUGGUAGGAGAUGAAAUGCUCAAAGGGAUUUCUGGAGGACAAAAAAAGCGUCUUACGACCGGUUUGUUACCAUCCAUCUCUUCUACACUAAUGGAUAUAAUAAUGAGUUUUGAUGAUUACAACUCAUUACUUCAGGCGAAUUGCUAAUUGGCUCUGCAAGAGUUCUAUUCAUGGACGAGAUAUCAACGGGGCUUGAUAGUUCAACUACCUAUCAAAUUAUCAAGUAUCUUAGGCAUUCUACCUGUGCACUUGACUCCACCACUGUAGUUUCUCUCCUGCAGCCUGCUCCUGAGACCUAUGAGUUAUUUGAUGAUGUUAUACUUCUCUGUGAAGGCCAAAUUAUAUAUCAGGGACCGAGAGACUCUGUUCUUAAUUUCUUCACAGCUAUGGGAUUUACCUGUCCCGAGAGAAAGAAUGUUGCAGACUUCUUGCAAGAAGUAAGCAAAGAGUGUAAAGAUUGAACUGAAAAUUCCCACUACUUUUUUGCUAAUGCGUUUGCUUACCAAAUAAUGGCUAUAGGUUAUAUCAAAGAAGGAUCAGGAGCAGUAUUGGUCAGUUCCUGAUCGUCCCUACCAAUUUAUCCCUGCAGCAAAGUUUGCCAAAGCUUUUCGUUUGUAUCAUGUUGGAAAGAACUUGACUGAAGAAUUGGAAGUUCCUUUUGACAGACGUUAUAACCAUCCAGCUUCCUUGUCAUCUUCUCAAUAUGGAGUAAAGAGGCUUGAACUUCUUAAGACCAGCUUUUCAUUGCUAAGGCUGUUAAUGAAACGAAACUCAUUUAUCUACGUUUUUAAGUUUAUUCAGGUAAAUAAAGCAGUUGUUCUUUAUCAAUUUUUGGUUUGAUUUUAAUGUUUUAGGUCUUCUUAGUAGACUGAAAUAAAUCCACUUGUUAAUGUUGUGUCCGUGAUAGAAACAACUUAUGCAGCCAUUAUAAAAACCAACAAUUGAAGGAUGACAUAUUUUUUCUGUAAUGUUCUCCUCAUUGUUUCUAUUAUGCAGUUACUACUGGUUGCAAUGAUUACAAUGAGUGUCUUUUUCCGGACAACAAUGAAGCAUGACACAAUUGAUGACGGAGGACUUUACCUUGGGGCACUCUAUUUUUCUACUGUUAUCAUCCUUUUUAAUGGAUUUACAGAGGUGUCCAUGCUGGUGGCCAAACUUCCUGUAAUUUACAAGCACAGGGAUUUGCACUUUUAUCCAAGCUGGAUUUAUACUCUUCCUUCUUGGAUCUUAAGUAUUCCAAUUUCACUUUUGGAAUCUGGUAUCUGGGUUGUAGUCACGUAUUAUGUGAUUGGAUAUGAUCCUGCUAUCACUAGGUAAGUGGUAAAGGUUGUGUAUUCCUUUUGAAUGUGGUGAGAUAAGGAUAAUUAUGUUGACAUGGAUGGACUUGAUUAUGGUUUCUAAAUAUGCAGAUUCUUGCGGCAACUUUUGUUAUUCUUUUCUCUGCAUCAGAUGUCUAUAGCACUCUUUCGCCUCAUGGGAUCAUUGGGACGUAACAUGAUUGUUGCCAAUACCUUUGGAUCCUUUACGAUGUUGGUUGUUAUGGCUCUUGGAGGAUAUAUCAUUUCAAGAGGUUGAUAUUGCAUGUUUUCUAUGCAACGUAUUAACAAACAUGAACUGUGCAAGUCUCACAUCUUUUCCUUCAUUGUAACAGAUCGUAUACCAAAAUGGUGGAUAUGGGGUUUUUGGUGGUCCCCAUUGAUGUACGCUCAAAAUGCUGCGUCUGUUAAUGAGUUUCUUGGGCAUUCUUGGGACAAGGUAAUAUUCUUGCUUCUACGACUAUUAAAUAAUCCAGGUGCAUCUGAUUUUAACGAUGUUGUGAACUAUUUUCUCUCUUUCUUCACUGUAUAGAGCGUUGGGAAGAAUACAAGCAUGUCACUAGGAGAAUCUUUACUGAAAGCACGCAGCCUUUUUUCAGAAAGCUAUUGGUAUUGGAUUGGUGUUGGUGCGUUGCUUGGAUAUACAGUGAUUUUCAAUUCGCUAUUCACAUUCUUCCUGGCAUACCUUAAACGUAAGCAAUCUGCUAUAAAUUGAUUAUAUUAUUUUACUUCUGCUUAUAUUUUAGCAUCGGAAGACUCUGCAAGAUGAUUUUUGAAAAAUGUAAAUUGGUUUUAAAAUUAUUUUUUCACUGAUUUGUUGCUUUCCCUUUUCUUCACAGCUUUGGGCAAAAGCCAAGCUGUAGUCUCCAAGGAAGAACUGCAAGAGAGAGAGAAAAGAAGGAAAGGAGAAACUACUGUAAUUGAGUUGAGACACUAUUUGCAGUAUUCUGGGUCAUUGAAUGGUAAGAAUCUGAUUAAGCUGUUUGAAAAACUUAGUAUAGUUUUUCUUAGCCAUUCGUCAAGUGCUGCCCUUGUCAAACUAAUUUUAUAAUUUCACCAUCUCAACUAUUUGGCAGGAAAGUACUUUAAACAGAGAGGAAUGGUACUUCCCUUCCAACAACUUUCUAUGUCUUUCAGCAAUAUUAAUUACUACGUUGACGUUCCCAUGGUGAGCUUCAAAUCCAGUUCUUUACUCAUUAUUUCGGGAACUUCUUGGUUGUAUAUCAUCUGACUUAAAAUAUUACUUCAGGAGCUAAAGCAACAAGGGGUAACAGAAGAAAGAUUACAAUUGUUGGUUAAUGUCAGUGGAUCAUUCAGACCAGGUGUGCUUACAGCUCUACUAGGAGUCAGUGGAGCUGGAAAAACCACACUCAUGGAUGUAUUGGCCGGUAGAAAAACUGGUGGGGUCAUUGAAGGAAGUAUACAUAUAUCCGGCUAUCCCAAAAGGCAGGAUACAUUUGCUAGAGUUUCUGGUUACUGUGAACAGACAGAUAUUCACUCCCCAUGUUUAACUAUUAUGGAAUCACUUCUCUUCUCCGCUUGGCUGCGAUUACCUUCAGAUGUUGACUUGGAGACACAAAGGGUAAAACUUGAUUGAUAAUUUUUUUUUAAAAAAACUAGUAUGGUGUGUAAUUAACAUAAAUUGAUAAUAGUUUUUAUUUGUGACAGGCUUUUGUUGAUGAGGUGAUGGAACUUGUUGAGCUUACCCCACUAAGUGGAGCUUUAGUUGGUCUACCGGGUGUUGAUGGUUUAUCAACAGAACAAAGGAAAAGAUUAACAAUUGCUGUUGAACUGGUAGCAAACCCAUCCAUAGUGUUCAUGGAUGAGCCUACAUCAGGGCUUGAUGCAAGGUCGGCUGCCAUUGUCAUGCGGACAGUAAGAAAUAUUGUCAAUACAGGGCGUACAAUAGUCUGCACAAUCCAUCAGCCCAGCAUAGAUAUUUUUGAAUCUUUUGACGAGGUAAUUUCCAUUUUUCUCCAGAACUUGCUUGCUUUUGAGUUAUCAAGUGCCAGAAAUUGUGUUCUCUUUAUCACUCAGAUCAAUUUUAAUUGCACGUGCAUCUUCCUGUCUCUAUUCUCCGCUACUAUCAUAUCUUAUGUACUUUACAAUACCUACAAACAAUAAUAAGGUCUACAAUAUGCACAAUUACUUCCGUUUCAUGUAUCUUCUAUUUUGUUGAAACUUGAAAAGAACGGUUUUCGUUUUCUUCCCACUUAUUUUUGUAUUACUUAAUUAUAUGUAGAAGAGUAAGGGAAUUAAGCCAUCAUGUAAUGGAAUUUCUUAUGCUUCUUCAAGCUCAAUGCUUAGAAAGUCAUUCCCUCCAUCAAUUCUUUGUAACAAAGUUACUUUUAAUGAUGGCAUUCUUGCUGCAGCUUUUAUUAAUGAAGCGUGGAGGAGAACUCAUCUAUGCUGGUCCAUUAGGACCCAAGUCUCGGGAACUAAUCAAGUAUUUUGAGGUAAUAUUAUUUAUAGACGCAUCAUUUUUAGUGACACCAAUUGCUAAAUAUUGUAUAUACACAAAUUCUCAGACAUCCCUGUAUUAUGUUAUGUAGGCAGUUGAAGGAGUUCAAAAGAUCAAAGCGGGCUAUAAUCCUGCCGCAUGGAUGCUUGAGGUUACUUCUGCAGUUGAAGAAAGUCGUCUUGGAGUGGAUUUUGCUGAAGUUUACAGGAGAUCAACACUAUUCCAGUAUGGAUUUAUUCAUUCUUUUAUUUCCAUGCAAAUACCUUUUGUUUACCAACCAGGUUCACUUCUUUUUGUUUCAGACGCAAUCUAGACUUGGUUGAAACCUUGAGCAGGCCAAUUAGUAAUUCAAAAGAACUGAGCUUUCCAACAAAGUAUUCUCAGUCAUCUUUCAAUCAAUUUUUAGCAUGCCUGUGGAAACAGAAUUUGUCUUAUUGGCGGAACCCACAGUAUACUGCUGUGAAAUUCUUUUACACUGUUAUCAUCUCAUUGAUGCUUGGAACAAUAUGUUGGAAAUUUGGUGCCAAAAGGUUUCUACUAUUACUUUUACCUGUUAUUACUUGUAUGCGUUCUACAUUCCACCUUUUUCUCACUUUUAUUUUCAUGCUAUCUUUCAACAAAAUAGUCAUUAAGUUACUGUUACUGUUACUUUUAAAAACUACAUGGUUAUCAUCAUUACUGUUUUCUCCCUUCACAGAGAAACCCAACAAGACUUAUUUAAUGCUAUGGGAUCCCUCUAUGCUGCUGUUCUUUUCAUUGGAAUCACCAAUGCUACUGCCGUUCAACCAGUUGUUUCAAUUGAGCGAUUUGUCUCAUAUCGAGAAAGAGCUGCUGGAUUGUAUUCUGCUUUACCAUUUGCAUUUGCUCAGGUAUUCCUCUUGAUGUUUUAUGUGUAUCUAUAAUGUAAUUGACUUCCAGAGAGUAGCCUAAUGCAUUACUUUUUAUGCAUAGGUCGCUAUCGAGUUCCCGUACGUGUUCGCACAGACAGUUAUUUAUUGCUCCAUUUUCUACUCCAUGGCUGCCUUUGACUGGACAAUUUUGAAGUUUAUUUGGUAUAUUUUUUUUAUGUAUUUUACCUUGCUAUACUUCACUUUCUACGGAAUGAUGACAACAGCUAUCACACCAAAUCAUAAUGUGGGUGCCAUUAUUGCGGCUCCCUUCUACAUGCUUUGGAACCUCUUCAGUGGCUUCAUGAUUCCUCACAAGGUAACACUUACCAUCUCUUACAUAUUUUUAGUUGUUAUCUUCACAAUUUUGCUUCAUAAUUCUAUAUCUCGUAAAAAUAAGCUAGUAGUGAUGGAAACUAGAUCAUUCUAGAGAUUCAACACUAUUAUUUACAACUUUUCUAAUCUCCGCUCUCUCUUACUUCCAUGGUUCCUCCCUCGAAAACAAAAAAAACAAUAUUUGGGUGCAUUUUGAUUUUCUUAUGCAUUCCCCUCUCUCCCAUGGAAUAUAAAAAAUAAAAUAAAAUAAGAUAAUUUUAAAAAAGAAUUCAAGUGAAUUUGCUACCUGGCAAAUAAUAAUUUGAUAAGAUGCGUAAAGAUAGAUGCAACUCGAAAUGCACUUAGUAUUUUUUAAAAGAAAAAGAAAAAGAAAAACAUAACAUUAUAUAUUUUUUAACUUUUAUCCUUAAGUUCUGGUUGAAGUAGAGAUAUAAUUAAAACCCUAAUUUAUUAGGUGUUAAACUUUUGAAUUAAUGGAUGAUUUAAUCAUUCUCUUUUGCCUCUCCUCACAUACAUGUGAUGUGAACAAACUGGUGGAGGCCCCUACCAUAGCAUCAUUAAUUACGUGACUGAUGUGAAAUGACAAAAGAAGCAUGUUUUUGGUUCUGCUUUAUAUUCAAUUUUGAGCUGACCAAAAGUUGUUUGGUGUACUACUUAUUUCAGAGAAUCCCAAUAUGGUGGAGAUGGUACUACUGGGCUAAUCCAGUGGCUUGGAGUUUAUAUGGACUCCAAGUAUCACAAUAUGGCGAUGACAAUAAGCUGGUAAAGCUAUCAGAUGGAAUUAACUCGGUAGCUAUACAUGACGUUCUCAAGCACGUUUUUGGGUUUAGACAUGAUUUUCUAGGUGUAGCUGCCAUCAUGGUAUUCGGUUUCUGCUUGUUCUUUGCCACGAUCUUUGCUUUCGCAAUAAAAUCCUUCAACUUCCAAAGGAGAUGAGAGGUUUGAUUUUGUUUAAAACAAAUUCUUAAAAAUUUAUAAAUUAAACAAUGUCAAAAGUUUAUAGAUUCUGUAUAGUAAUAACAGUAUGUAACUUUCAGAUCACUCAUUGUAUACUUCUAGCUGGAAUUUGUCUAUAGAAAGUAAUAAUAGGUUCUAUUUUCAUUAAACAAAAAAUAUACGUUGAUGAGUAUUAUUUGAAAGUAAUGAAUUUUGUAUCGGUAACUACUUAUGACAUCAAUUAUUAGUUCUUCCUUCUUCCUUGUUGACUUCAUUUUUUUGCAGCCUACAAAGAUAAUUUAAAGCAACUCAAAAAACUUCCCAUUUUCAAGCAGCAGCUGAGAAGAGAGAGAUGGAGAAAGAUUGUACCAUUUUAAUGUGGCUCUUCCUUCUUCCUUCCUUCUCCUCUUCAUCAAUGGCUGCCAACAGGUUUUGCCCUCGUUCUGAAUUAUAUAGUCUCAUCGCUUCUUCGUAUGGUUCCUCGUCAAGUAGUUUCUAUUUCACAAUUCACUAUUUUAAUAAAGAAGCUACAUAAAGAAAAAGAAAAAGAAAAGACCAAAAAAGAUGUUGAAAUCAAAGCGGGUUUUUAAAAAUAAUUAUCAACAUUUAUAAAAGAAUUGCCAAUAUAACAAAAUUUAUUAUCAAUAUGAUGAUUAAUCACUAAUAGACUAGGAUAAUUGAAUCUAAAUUUUGUUAUAUUUGUAUUUUUUAAAAUUAGGUUGUAAUGUACACAAUAGUAAUCUCUUUUUUUUACAUACUAAGAGUUCUUGUGGGUUGAAAUUAAGGUAGUCUUGAUCGUCGUCGUCGUCGUCGUCAAUGAUUAUGAUUGGUAUUUUCAAGUUCUGCAAUCCUUUUGAAUUCGAAGUUGAAUGCUUUAAUUGAGUCUUGAAGGGAUUAUCCUCUUCGCCUAAUAGUUUCUGUUUUAAACAAGCAAUUAAGCUUUAGGAUUAGAAGUAAAGAGGAUAGUCAAGUUAUACAAACCAACCAUUUCAAAACCUUAGACAGGUUUCAAUUACACCUCAAAUUUAAAAUUGUACAUUUAUUUAAAUUUUAGGAUUGCAUAUCAAUUUUCAUAUAGUCAAUAUAUAUCCAUUCAUAUUAACCUCUUGGUGGGAAAAUCGCAAAAAAAAAAAAAAACAUCUCUUUAAAAUAAAUUCAAAGUUCAAAAGAUUAGAAAACUUUCCAAAUGUUUCGGAACGAAAGCAUAAUUGAAACUUAUUCCAAAAUUAGGAGAAAAUAUAUAUGUGUGUGUGUAUAUAUAUAUAUGACCAAACGUAAGUAGGUUUGUACAUACAAGGAAGUGCUUUGGGAUACGUUCAUCUUCAAUAUACUUCUUUGCUUUUGCUCUUAUCAUUUCUACAGCACCAGAGGGAAACUUUGCACAAAUGAAAAAAAAAUCAAUAAAUUUAUUUGGUACAUCGUUUGUAUCAAUAGUCCUAUCAUUCUGAGUUUAGUUUGACAUUUAAGAGCAAUGCUUAGAUUCAUUGUAGACUACACUCAAUCGUUCUCGUGUAGCCACUCCAAUCACAUUGUAAAACAGACAAAAAAAUUUAUAAAAAAAGUAAACAAUUGUGGGACCGAACGAUAGUGUUACUUAAUUAAUAGAUUUAUUUUCUUGUGUGAGAGAAUAAAACUUAAUUACUAUGAAUUCAAUAUUGAAAAUAUUAAUCACUAUAGCUUAAUCUCACAUGAUUUUAAUAUUAUUUUAUCGAACAUUAUUGUAACCUACACUUUUAAAUUAAGAAAUUGAAAUUAACUGAACAAUAAUUUAAAUCAUAUUACAAAGUGAUUAAUUUUUUAAAAAACAAAAUUGGAGCCAAAUUUUAGAUUCUUUCACCCGUGUCUAUAAUUGAUAGAAUUUGAAAAUAUCUAUAUUUGAAAAUGUUCCCUAAGAGAUUUUAAACAAUAAAAAUUAAAUUUAAGCGAAAAAAAAAGUUUCAUGUCAACUAUAUAUAUAUAUUUGGAAAAUUAAAUAUUUGAGAGUAAGACAAAAAUUUUGUCAAAAAUAUAUGUAGAAUUAUAACAUUAUUGUUAUACUAAAAGCUAUAUUCUAAAACUAUACAUUAAUUAAUCUUAUUUAUUUAGCUUUAAUUCUUGUAUUAAGCAAAUCUCAAUAUAACUCCGUCAAUAAGCACUAACUAAAUUUAAGAAUAAAUCUCUCAAAUUCUUUUAUCGUUUAAUGUAUUUCUUAGUUUCUCAAAUUCUCUAUAUAAUAAUGUUCAUAUUAAACGCACGACUUGAAAAAAGUCGAAGAUUUAAAAGAUAUAAGAUUACGUCAUUAUAUGACAACAUAAAACUUCAAAUCACAAAGUUUUGAUAAAUCUAUAUUAUCAUUCUCGUGGCCAAUAAAUGGUUUUUCAUAUAAAUCAUAGGAAAGUGAAAUAAUUAAAUUUAUAAGGGAGAGAAGAGUAGUAGAGUUGUUGUUAUAUUGUCUCUGCCUUUAAUUACAAAGGAAAAGCAAAUUAACUAAAACCUUCAAACUUGGGUUUGUGAUGAUGUGAAAGUUGUGGACCCUUUGAUGUCUAUGUAUUUGAUCCAAAAGAAAAACUUUGUUCAAUGUGACUAACUAAAAGAUAUCCAACCAAUUGAAGUAUGUUUGAAUGGAUAAUUUUUUAAUCUUUCAUUUUCAGUUCUUAUGGUCAAAUUAUAUUUACUGACUAAUCAAAUUAAGUUCAAUUCAAAAUAUAAGUAACACACCAUAUUGUACUAAAAUACACACCUUUCAUAUUAGAAAUGACAGUGGAAGAAAGAAAAUAAAGAAAAAUAAGUGUUUUAUAUUUUUUUGUUGGAGAAAGUCUUUGUUAAUAAUUAAUAUUAUUAUGUAUUCUGACUUUGUUAAUAAUUAAAAGCCAAAGGAAAUUGAUAUGAAACAUUCUUGAACAUCAUCAUGAAGGAUUAUACAAAGAUAUUGUGAUUAAUAAUAAUAUUAUGAUUCUUAUUAGGUUCUCUAUUGAGUGUUUAAUUUGGCAUGAAGAAUUUGAUAUGAUUAUUAUCAAAAUCUAAGCCUUUAAGUUUUGUCAAACAAUCAUUUCUUAGGUUACUAUCCAUUUUAAAUUCGAUCUCUUUUAUACUAAAAAAAAAUUUCAAUCAAAUUAUUUCAAAAAAGUUUGUUCACGAGAAGUGUUAGUUGCAGUAAUAUUGUUUUAUUAACAUGUAAUUACCACUUAUUUCAUGUUAAUUUGAUUUUGAUGACAAUUUAAUUUUAUAACAAUAAAAUUUUUAAAUUUACCGAUAAAAAUGAGAAUUUGAAAGAUUGAGAAAGAAAAUUUCUAAAAUUAAUUACUAUUAUAUAUAACUAAUAAUUUAAUUUUCAGUAUGUAUUUCCACAAUAAUAUAAGUUUUUUUUUUGUUUGCACAUUUACAUUUAUGGCAAUGAUUUAAUUUGAGAAUUUGACUUAGAAAUAUAUUGUUGUAUGCUAAGACAAUCAUAUAUGGCCAAAAUGCAAUCCUUUUCAUCAUGUGUGGUCUUAAACAAGUAGAGAUAAUAAUUUCAAGUGUCUUUUUCAAAGAUUAUUUCAUAUUUAAUAAACUAAUAAUCAACUUUUAUUUUAAAAUUUCUAUCUAAAUUCACAUUAAAUAAAUAAACAAGAGAUAGUUAAUAUAAUAAUUGGCAUAGAUUAUAUUAAAAUAAACGAGGUUUAAUAUAACUUUUUUUUUAUCUUUCACAUUCAUCGACCCAUUCCAAUAUUUUGUAUAGAGAUGAUAUAUACGUCAUUAUGGUGUGCCUUUACCACAAAUGCUCUUAUGCUUAUGUCAAGAAGUUUGUGUGUUGAUAAAUAGAGAAAUUUGAGUAUUAUUAGAAUGAGUUUAUCUUCUUUGAAACGAUCAUGAUGACGUACGUAUUUAUAUAGAUUAGGGUUUAGCGAAGUAACUUUAUAGGAUUAACUCUUCAUCUCACGACCUAGUCAAAAUGAUUGCCCUGUUUCGUGUAUAGAUAGAGUCAGCCUCCACCUUGAUCAAGCACGAGCACCUUCCCCUAGGACCAAUUUUUGUCGGGAAUACACUAAGUCAUUCCUCAUUAUAUUAGUUUAAUUAAUUAUUUUGCUAGGUGGCCUUAGUUUUGACUAAGAUCACACAUGUUGAUUUUUAAGGUAUAUAUAUUGAUCCGAACUAACCCUCUUACUCCAUUAUCGGUCUAGGUUACUAUUUUUGACUCAAGACCUUGUUAUAUCUUUUAUAUUUUUGUUUACUUCUAUCGUCUCUCUUUUACGUAUGUCGAUUAUAUCAUUUGGUUCUCAAUCAUUUAUCACAACGACUAUUAUUAUAAGUAUAAAUUACUCAAAUAACAAUACACAUUGUCUCACUUUGUCACUUUCUCAGAAUUAAACUAUAAUUAGAAAAAGAAUAUACAUCUCCAAAAUUCUAUUUGUUUAAACACAAAUUAAUAAUGUGAAAUAAUUAGUUUAUAGGCAAAAUUAGGGUCUUAUCUUGUCCCAAUAUGGUUAGUUAUAGACAACAACAAUAAUCAAUCCCACCUGUCACAUUAAUAGAAUUAAUCAAGCUUAUGUAGGUCCCUUUUUCUCUAAACAAAAUAAUAAUAAUAAUAAUAAUAAAAGGUGUCCAUUUCUUUCUUAAAUUUAAAAUUUGACAAAAGUAAUAAUAACUAUUAAUAAUAUUAUUUUUUAUUUUAUUAAAAAAAAUAGCAAAACAGUAUCAUUUCUUCCAUAGGGCUUAAAUCAUGGCCAGAAGGGCAAACCUUUCUUUAUUAUCAUUUUAUGGAAUGGGUUCUAAUACAUGCUCUCUAUAUAUAUCAAUGGAGAAGAUCUUUCAAGAAAGAUUAGACGUAGACUAAGAGAAUCUAAAUCCAACGAUAAAAUUUAUGUAAGUUGAGCUAUCAUAAGUAAGUUGUAUAUAUAGAGAGGAUCCGUUCAAACUUUAUGAUAUAAUUAUAUUAAAUUUAUCUUCACAUAAUAUUGCAUAAGAAUAUCGUAGUCUAAAAGUUCAUAAUAUGUUCAAAUCUUUGUACUUGCUCAUUGGGUAGAUGAAUUAACUUUAGUACAAUUUAUUUUAACCAUGCAAUGUAAAGUAUUAUUGAUUAGGACUUAUAUAUCUGUGUUGGGGGAAGAAAUGGAAUUUAAUAGCAUGACAUAAAGCAUAGAAAUUAAAAGAUAAUUAGAAUAAACAAAAAAAAAAAAAAAAAUGAAGUAGAAAGAGAGAGAGAGGGGGAGAGGAAUAAGAUCAAAGGAGAAUCUCACCCAAACAAAUAAAUGAAAUAAAAAUGAGAAUACAAACAAAUACAAAGGUGGCUAUGAAAAAAGGAAGAAGUUGAAUAAUAUUAGAGUAAUUGGUAGUCCAUUUGUUGGCAUUUGCAAACAUUGUAAUAAGACAGAAAUAUAUGCCUCAUUCUUCCAUUUGGGAUCAUUUACUUCCAUCAUAUUAAUUAUAUACUAUUAUAUAUAUAUAUAUAUAUAUAUUUACAUAUGAUAUGAUAUUAUAUGAUUUAAUAUUUUACUUUAUGAUCUAUGUAUUGCUAUACAGGUAACAUACACCAUUACCAAUCUAAACUUCACAUGUUACAUUUUGAUACUAAUGAUAACAUAACAAACAAAAAGUUCAUUUUCUUUACAAUACAUGUAGAUAUAUAAGGACUAUUCUAGUGGUUGUUAUAUAGACAACUUGAACUACUUAAUAUAAGACUUGAAGAAUAAUUCUUUUUUUUUUUUUAACCCUUGUACUUAUAUAUAUAUAUAUAUGAGAAUACUUUUGUAUUUAAUUGAAAGUCAAGUGUUUAGCUUUUCAUUUAAUUGGUUCACUUACACUUAAAAAAUCAAUGUCUUGUUAGGAUGAAUAAUGACAUAUUUUUAGGAGUUGUUUUUUAAUAGUUUAAAAUCAUUUUAUCAUUUUAAAAUUACUUAAAAAAUAUUACUCAUUGUUCAAAAUCAUAAUAAUAUGAAGUUUGUAUUUAAAAUUGAACAUUGAAGUGAUUUAAUGACUUCAAAAUGUUUAUGAUUUCAUCAAAAUUAAAUAAUGAAAUAAAGUUAAAGGUUUGUUUUUCAUUAACUAUUAAAUUUAAAUUUACAAUCCUUGAUUAUUUUAAAUAUUUUGAACAUAAUGAAUUUGGGUCAAAAGUCAAAGGUGGGGGGUUAAUUUUGCGUUUACUAAUAAUCAAAGUGAGAGUUUGUAAAUUGGAUAAUUAGCCCAAGUUAAUUAUACGUAAAAACGGGUUGGUGGUCAGAUUUACGGAAUUAAACAUAUGAUGGAGCAAUGGGGACCGUCAGAUCUGGCUUGGCCCACACUGCCCUAACGUGUAUGAUAUGCAAACCCUUUAUUACACAAUUAAUAAUAGUAAUAAUAAAAUUAGAAAAAUGACGGCCGUUAUUUUUACUCCGUUUUUUCACCUCUUCUUUCUAAAUCCUAAUCUCCACCCCCAGCGCGUGUCUUCCACUUCCUUUCUUUUCUUUUCUUUUUUAAAAUGAUAUUUGAUUGUUAAUAUUUGGAUUAUGCUCUAUAGGAUUCAUACCUUCUGAUAUUUAUAAUUGUAUGGUGAGACAUUUUUGUAUUUUCUAAAUAGAUAGUAUCUUAAAUUUUGUUAUAUUUUACUCAUUUUUAUAAUAAUUUCUCAUAUAUAUAAAUGGUUAAUGUUUAUAUGUAUUGUUUUUAUUCUAGAUUAAUAUAUAAAAGAAAAUUUAAAAAAAUAGCAAAAUUCAUCUCUCUCUACCUCUCGUUCCAAAAUUUUACUAUAUUUUAUAAAUAAUUUUAUUUUUUUGUGUUAUUCAUGACAAGUUUUCUUAAUUAAUAAAAAAUUAGUGAGAAUUGUAAAAAAUGGUUUUGUUCUAAAUAGUUUGUGAAAAUUUUCUAUUUUCGAAAAAAAAAAAUCUCUAAUAUAUUGUACCUUAAGACAGCAAGGGAAAAGAAAAACAAAAGAGGAAAAGGAAGGACAAUUGACCAAAUCUUGAGUUAUCUUAAGAAUAAAAUUUUAAAAUUUAUUAAUUUUUCUUCAUUGGAAUUUCAAAAUGAAAAGAUUGAUUAUAUAUAUAUAUAUAUAGUUAAACAAUAAGAUGUUGUUUUCAUAUUAAAAAAAGAAAACUAAUGAUUUUAUCUCUACAUAUGGAAUGGAGGUUGGAGGAGCUGUUUUACAUUGUUGAAUCUAAAAUGAAAAAACAAAACUAUAUGACAACUAAUGUAAACAACAUACUUGACAAUUGGUUAUCAAUUAAUAUUUCAUGAAUAAUGAAUAAUUAUAAUAUAAAUUUAACAAAUUUUGUUAUUUACUUUUAUUUCCACCAGAAUUUUGAUUUAAAAAAACUAAUAGUAUAAAUUAUUAUACAUACUGUUUUAAAUGUUGUUGUAAUAAAAUAGAAAGUUGCAAUUCGAAGUAUACUUUUAGUUGUAUGAAAUUAUUUGUAGUUAAAAGUGAACUUAGCUCGAGAGUAAUUGAUAUAGCUCUUGAAUCUAUCAUGUGUACUAAAAAAAAUCAUGUGUAAAUAAUAAUUUUUAUAAACCUUCAACAUUAGAAAAAAUGUUACCCAAAAAAACGAGGACAAAAUUUCAACAAAUAUUAUCUAAAAUUGUUGUGAAAUUUUAAUUUUAAUAUUUAUCAACAGUUAAGGAUUAAAACAUGAAAAAUUAGAGGUUCACAUCUAUAACGAAAGUAUUUUGUUGUAACUAAGUUAAAAAUUAUUAAAAUUUUAUGAAUCAAUUUGAUCAUCAACAACGAUAAUGACAAUAAGUGGAGUUGUUUCUUCUUGGUUGAGCAACAAAGAGUGAUAUACCCUAUUGCAUUUCUUAUUGAGAAAGGUUAGAGAAUUAUACCACGGUGCCAAAUAUAGUCGAUAACUCGAACGUCUUUGUUUUUAUAGUAAUCUAAAAAUGCAUUGAAGUUGAGAGGGUUGGAGUUCCUGUAGACCUAUGGUAAGUCCGUAGUUGUGAGCUCUACAAUGAGUAAAUUGCACGAUUGGAAGAGCGCGUGGGGAUGAGGAAAAGAUGCAUACGAAAGAAAGGGUUUUGUGUUUCUUCUUCAUCUUCUUCCUUUGAUUUCACUGCAACAGUUUAUAAAAAUUAAAAGAAAAAAGGAAAGAAAGGUUUACAAAUGGUUUUCUCUGCCACUCUCAACUCUCCAUUUUCUCUUCUUCCUUUUCCUUUCUAACUUUCGUGGGCCAUUCAUCCUCUUUCUCUCUCUACAAAACCUCCCUCUUCCCCCUUUUUCUCACUUCACCCAUUUCUUUCUCUCUAUCUCUCUCUCAUGGCUUUUCACCGGCAAACCAUUUUUGGUUUUCUCAAAUACCACCAUACAAUACCACUAUCCAUCUCUUUUCUCUAAUUCCUCCGACCCCUUUGGUUUUCUCUCUCUGAAUCCACAAUGGCUACUGCAAUUUCUCUUUGCUCUGUUUUUCUUCUUCUUCUACUUGUGAUUCAGUGGGUCAACUCGGAGCCGACUCAGGAUAGACAAGCCCUUCUCGAUUUCUUCUCUAAAACUCCUCACGCCAAUCGGGUUCAAUGGAAUCUUUCUAAUUCCGUCUGUAAUUGGGUCGGCGUUGAGUGUGAUUCAAGUAAGUCCUUUGUUUACUCUCUCCGUUUGCCUGGUGUUGGCCUUGUUGGAUCGAUUCCGGCUAAUACAGUUGGGAAAUUGACUCAGCUCCGAGUUCUCAGUCUCCGUUCCAACCGUCUCUCCGGCGAGAUCCCAUCGGAUUUUUCCAAUUUGGUAAUGCUAAGGAAUUUGUAUCUUCAGGAUAAUGCUUUCUCCGGAGAGUUUCCGUCGAGCUUGAUUCGGCUGACUCGGCUGACUCGGCUGGAUUUGUCGUCGAAUGAAUUUUCCGGUCCGAUUCCGGCUUCUGUUGACAAUCUAACUCACUUGAGUGGGAUUUUCUUACAGAACAAUGGAUUCUCCGGUUCACUCCCGAAUAUCUCCGCCCUUAACUUAACAAGCUUCAAUGUCUCUAACAACAAACUCAACGGCUCGAUUCCGAAUUCCUUAGCGAAAUUCCCCGCCUCUUCCUUCGCCGGAAACUUAGAUCUCUGCGGCGGACCAUUCCCACCUUGCAGCCCAUUAACUCCUUCUCCAUCUCCAUCACAAAUCCCCCCACCAUCCAACAAAAAAUCUAAAAAACUCUCCACGGCAGCAAUUAUCGGAAUCGUAAUCGGCGCCGUUUUCGCAGCUUUUCUCCUCCUCCUCAUCCUAAUCCUCUGCAUUCGUCGCCGGUCCAACAAAACACAGACGAAAUCACCAAAGCCACCAACGGCGGUGGGAACGGCAGCGAGAUCUAUUCCAGUAGCGGAAGCUGGAACAUCGUCGUCGAAAGACGACAUUACCGGAGGGUCAGUGGAGGCGACGGAAAGGAACAAGCUGGUGUUUUUCGAAGGUGGGAUUUACAACUUUGAUUUGGAGGAUUUGUUGAGGGCUUCGGCGGAGGUAUUGGGGAAAGGAAGCGUCGGAACGUCGUAUAAGGCGGUGCUAGAAGAAGGGACGACGGUGGUGGUGAAACGGCUGAAGGAUGUGGUGGUGACGAAAAAGGAAUUUGAGAAUCAAAUGGAGAUUUUGGGGAAAAUUAAACAUGAAAAUGUGGUUCCACUAAGAGCUUUUUACUUCUCCAAAGAUGAGAAAUUGCUUGUUUAUGAUUAUAUCUCCACCGGAAGUUUGUCGGCCAGCCUUCACGGUCAGUACUCUGCUUCUCCUCUGUUUUCUUUUUCUUUUCUUUUUAUUUUCAUUUCAGUCCCUAUGAGUGCUGUUUUUUUUUUCUUUCUAUUUUGGUCCUUCUAAUUUUAAUUUUAAUAAUAUAUUAUUAGUUUUCUUUUAUUAUUUUUUAAAAAUAAAAUAUAUAAUUUUCAAAAUAUAUCCAUCCCUCCAUCCAAUCAACAAAUAUAACAUAAUCGAAAAUAAUUAGUAUAUAUAGUAAAAUUUAGAUUAAGCCUAAAGAGUUCGUACAAACUCUAUCUAUUAUAUUAGGCAUGAAUUUUGUUAUAUUUACCAUGGCUUAAAAAUGAUAACAUAGAAUUAACAAUUAAUUUUAAAAAUACUAACCAUUCCAAUUAUUCAAAUAACCAAAUUAAAAAAAAAAAUAGUAAUAAACCUAAAGUAUAGGGACUGAUAAUGUAAUCUUUUUGUUUUUUUAAUAAUAAAAACUUUUAUGUUAAUUAUUUGAUUCCAAUGCUUGCAUUGUUCCUUGAGAAAGUUAGUAACUAUUGACCACAUUGAACCUUUGGGAUGUGACCCAUAUGGGUUUUAAGUAUUUUUCUAGCAAAUAUAUAUAUAUAUAUUCAAAAUUAUUUUUACAAAAGAGAUUAGAUAGGAUUGAGAUUCAAACACUCAUUGAAAUAUAGCAUAAACAAGCCAUAUAGAAUUUGAUAGGUUUUGUUUAUUUUAUAAAUAGUUUCUAAGCCAACCUUAAAAACCAACUAUGAUAUUAUGUCCACGAUGGAGUAUUCCUAACUUCAUCCAAUAAUAAUUCACUAUAGGUAUGUUUUUAUGUUUCCUAUUUAUAUUUUAAAAAGAAAUUGUUUAUGGAAAUAGAGUAGGAACAAAAUUCAUUUAUAUUUAUUUAACCAUAUGUUCCUUGAUUUAAUUUGCAAAAAAAGGAAAAAAGGACUUUAAUUUAAAAGAAGAAGAAAAAAGGAAUAAUAGAUAGAGAGAAGAAAAAGGAAAAGAGAUGAGUGACAGCUCAUGGGGUGGCUUUUUGUUCAAGAGUUCACAUUAUGAGCAUGUAGUGAUGGACAAAAAGUAUUAACAAAAACUCUAUACUUUAUAUUAAAUUUUCCACAUUAAUUUGAUAUCUAUGAGUAGUUUUCUAUAUGCAUUUAUUUAUUUAAAAAGUGCACUUCCUUUAAUUCCACUCUGUCUACUACAGAGACAUUCUUUAGUUUUUGAGACAUUCAGCUUUCUUUCAUCUUUCAUUUAUUAUUUGAACUCUACCCUCUCUAUUUACCAUUUUAACCCUCUCUAUGAUGAGAUGACCCAAGAAAAAGAGGAGAAAAGAUGGCUUGUGAAUAAAGAAAGCUACAAAAAAGAGUCACUCACUGCAGUGUUGAUUUUUUGUAGUUUAAAGUUGGUGACAUAUGUAUGUUUAUUUAUUCAUCUAUUUUUCUUUUGAGAUUUGCUUUAAACUUAUAAUUGAAGCCUUGGGUUGAGGCUUUUAACAAAGGUUCUCACUUUGCCUCUGCCCACUUCUGAAAUAAUGAUAAAUUGCUCAAAAGUCCCCACACCUCUUUUCCUAUAUCAAAUUCUUAGGGAAAUAAAAUAUGUCAUUAAAUUUCAUUUCCACUCCUAUGAAUCCUAUGCAUACAUCGUCUUAAUGAAGAAGAAAAUGACAUUGGAAAAGUGGCUUCUAGUAAAGAUCUGGCUUUCGGUUGCUUUGACUUAAGAUGUUAACCCCAUAAUUCAAAUCUCAACUUUAUUCCUUAAUUUCAAUAUUUCCCUAAAUGAACUCUACCUUUAAACCUAUUCAUAUUUGUUAGUCCUACUUUUGAAUUAUAAGUUCAACAUUAGGAAACUCAAAAGUUUAGUUCAUUUAGAUAAUCAUUUAGGUUUUGUUUGAGAGAUAUUUUGUCAUGUAUAGAAAAUAACCUCUCCUUUUUUUUUUUUUUCUUGUUUUGAAUGGCUCUAAAUCUAAACUAAUUGUGUUUAUAUUGAUUUUCAAUGUCACAGGAAGCCGAGGCUCCGGGAGGACGCCGUUGGAUUGGGAUUCAAGAAUGAGAAUAGCACUAAGCGCCGGAAGAGGAUUAGCCCAUCUCCACCUCACCGGCAAGGUGGUUCACGGCAACAUUAAAUCCUCCAACAUUCUUCUCCGUCCAGACCACGACGCCUGCAUUUCCGAUUUCGGUCUAAACCCACUUUUCGGCACCGCCACACCGCCGAAUCGCGUCGCCGGCUACCGUGCACCGGAGGUCGUCGAAACCCGAAAGGUCACAUUCAAAUCCGACGUUUACAGCUACGGAGUUCUCCUCCUGGAACUCCUAACAGGAAAAGCCCCCAACCAACAAUCCCUCGGUGAGGACGGAAUCGACCUUCCACGGUGGGUUCAAUCCGUCGUCCGGGAAGAAUGGACGGCAGAGGUUUUCGACGCGGAGCUGAUGCGGUUCCAUAACAUCGAAGAAGAGAUGGUUCAGUUGCUGCAGAUUGCAAUGUCCUGUGUUUCGACGGUUCCCGAUCAACGACCGGCGAUGCCGGAAGUUGUACGGAUGAUCGAAGAUAUGAGUAGUCAUAGAAGUGAGACGGAUGAUGGGUUGCGUCAGUCUUCCGAUGAGCCUUCGAAAGGAUCAGACGUGAAUACGCCACCGGCGGAGUCUAGAACUCCACCGGGAGUGACGCCGUAGGAAGGGCAAAAAGGGAAAAGAGUUGUUAAUUUUCUUUUGGGAGAGAAAGAAAUAUUGUGGGGGCCCUUCUUCAAAAUUGGUGCAUAAAAAAAUGGGAUUAAAAGUGCUUUUAGGGUUUGAUUGAAGAGGGUAAAAUGGUCAAAAUCUUCCAUUUGUAUUUCUUCAAGUUUUACUAUUAUUAUUAUUUUGUUUAUUUUUAGUUAUGUAAUGAUUUUACAAAAAUGGAGGAAAAAAAAAAAGAAAUUUGUAGGAGUGAUUUGGGGGAAAGUUUCAUGUGGGAUGAACAUGGUGGUUGUAUAAAACUUGGGAAUUGACCUUGUGGUCAUUUGAGGUUUUUAUAAUUACUUUUAUUUUAAUUUCUCCUUCUUAUUAUUUUCAAUGUUUUUCUUUUUUCUUUCUUUUCAUUCAUAUAAAUCAAUAUAAACAAGAGUAUUAUUUUGAACGCACCUCACUUUUAAAUUUCACUCAUUUUCAUGCUUCUCAUUUUAAAGAAAAAUAAAAUUCACACUAUACACUAACUUAACUAUCGUAUAUUGACUUAAUGGUAAAAAUAGAAACAGUUACAAUAACUAACUAAGAGAUCUGGCAAAAAUGACAUAGUUUUCAUGUUCAUUGUUCUUAUGACACACUUUUACUUUUUAAGUUAAUUUAAAAUUUAAAAUAUUUUUUAAAAAAAAAAUCUAAUUUUUGGUGCAAAACAUUUAUAAAAGCGUGAUAAUGUAGCUGAAAAAUAAUACAUUAGACUAUUAAUUAUAAACUAUGAAAAAUAAAUAAAUGUUUGAGUAAUAUUGUUAGUGGGUGUGUGAUAUUUAUAAGGGAUUGAGAAUCUAAAGUAAUUGGGUAGCUGCUAAAGUGGCAAAAGUGAUAGUGAUCAACUCAAAUUCAUUAUUUAUGCUAAAGUUUAAUUAAUGAAAAUAUUGUUUUAUAUGAUAUGAUAAUUAACAACAUGCAUGGAUUGUUUGAAUAAUCUAAUUAGUAAUGAUAAAAAAAAAAAAAAAAAAGCAUAUAGGUUUGUUUGAAUCUUUCUUAAUAUUAAAAAGUAGUUGAGAAAAAAGCACUUAAUUAAAUUAUCCUUAUUUUUGGUGAUGUUAUCUUUCUGAAAAUACAUACAUCUUACAAUAUUUUAAAUGUGUUGGUAAAGACAAAUGUUUAACUUUCAAACUUUUGGUUUAACUGAGGUCAAUUUUUUUUCUUUAGGGCACUCAAGUUUUAACUUUGAGCAUUAUAAUACAAGUCAUUUUCUUUUAUUCAUUGAUAUUAAUUCCUUGUUCACUAGUUCUAACGUGUCAAAAACUAUAACAAAACUAAAAAUACCAAGUUCAAGAAAAUAUAUCGAUAUAACCUAAAUAAUUUAUAGUACAAAAUGCACAAUACAUAUACUAGAAAUUGAGUAACUUGCACUCUAUGAUUCUAUCUCUAUAAAUUUAAAUUCAUAAUAGACAUGGUCGUACUUAAUAUCAGCGAACAAUGCUUAACUUACCCAAAAUACCCUUUUUCCACCUUUUACUUUUUUUUUUUUUUCUCGUAGGUAAGAGAGAAGCAAUACUUUCAUGUUUCUUACAUGCAAGAGGUAGCAAUGAGACCAAAUAGCAAAUGAGGACAUUAUUUGUACCCUAAAAUUUGACUUUGGAAAAGAUAAAAUGUACUUUUACUUUCUUCUAUCAAGUGGCACAUGGGCAUGUAACCCUAGCAACCUUCUUAUAUACCCUUAUUUUCUUCUCU
This 69639-nucleotide long non-coding RNA is filed under the name Cucumis sativus (cucumber). RNAcentral's name for it is "long non-coding RNA (CSAT_LNC000477)". Lineage: Eukaryota; Viridiplantae; Streptophyta; Magnoliopsida; Cucurbitales; Cucurbitaceae. The record is from RNAcentral.